This 77167-nucleotide long non-coding RNA is filed under the name Triticum aestivum (bread wheat). RNAcentral's name for it is "long non-coding RNA (TAES_LNC001721)". The record is from RNAcentral. Lineage: Eukaryota; Viridiplantae; Streptophyta; Magnoliopsida; Poales; Poaceae.
GAUUGUCCUGGGAAGGUGUCGACGAUCUUGACGACGGACUCGUCGCUGACAUUGUCGGUCUGGAAGAUACCCUUGCAGACACCGAUACGGUCGUCGCGGGUGGGAGCCCAGUAGAACUUCUCCAUACGACCAUCACGGAUGAGAGGGGCGUACAACGUUGAGAAAUCGUUACCAGUGACGACGAUGGGCACACGAGGGUUCUCCUCCUUGUUGUACAUGCCUGGGAGCUGCACGUUGGUGGGGGCAUCGGCGAUGUUCAUGAGGGUGGCGUUCACCAUCUGGUUGUUGACGGUGUACUGUGUGGUCCCGCCCAUCCGACCCGCACCGGCGUCAAGAUCGUUGAUGAAGAGGCAGCACAUCUUACCCUUCUUGAUCAUGUCUGCAGCCUCACGGUACCGCUGCCUGAUGAGCUUGGCUGGCUCUCCGGCGUUGCCACUCUCCAGCUCUCCGGCACUCAUCAUGAUUGGGCUGUGGUGAAAAGCACACGUCAUUAUCUAUUACUAGCACUGUGGCUUGAUGCAUCUAUGACUGUGUGACAGUAUGUAUAAUAGAUGAAUGUGAAUUCCUACUUGAUGCCCAUCUUGGCGAAGACAAGCUCACACUGGAAGGAUUUUCCUUGACCCUUGCCUCCCCAGAUACCCAAGAUGAGUGGGAUCUGAAUUUCGAUUCAAGGUCAGUUCCAGAAUCAGAAUGAUUUUCUUGCUGCUAAUCAAUAGUCAUGAUGCAUACCUUGAUGUUGGGCAGGGUCAUGAAGUUCUUGGAGAGAUGGACAACAAGCUUGUCCAUGAAAGCAGGAGCGAUGUAGAAGCCUCCCAUGGUGUUGUCGAAGUCGUACUUCUUGAGUCCCUGGCUGACGUACUCGUAGGAGCUGAGGACGGCCUCGUGGGUGCCGUCGCCCGUGGGCGCCUGGAAGAGGGAGUCCACGAUGCCCUUCCCUCUGGUGAUGUCCUGCUGGUCGUCGGAGAUAUCGUAGGCAAGACCCUUCCACUUGUCUGUGUUCCUCUUCUCGUCGAUGUUUUCCGCUGCCAUGACUGUGAACCUGUUGGCCUUGGAGCUCUUGCCAUGGUAGUUCACGGCCGAGGUCACCUGCUUCUUGAGCUUCUUCCCGAGGAAGUUGGUCGGCGUAGAAGCCUGUAUACAUUACACACACACACACAUGAGACGCCGUUGAAGACAUUGAUACGAUAUCAUCACUAAACAAGAGAUGCAAUCAAUCAAUUGAUCGAUCGAUCAGUGUGUCAUACGCACCGGGGCACCGACGGUGGAGGAGAAGGCAGCAGCCAUCUCGGUGCUGCUUGGUCGACCUUGCUAGCAACGGUGGAUGCGCGGCUGUGCUGGUGAUCAGCGAUGAAUGACCGCUGCUGCUCAAAGUAUAGAGGCCCAGCUAUGAGAUGCCUUAAAUACACAUGGAUUGGCAUAUUGCUGCGGUGGGGAGCUUGGAGGAGGAGGCGGCAUACACACACCCCUGCUUGUGGAUCAGCUUCCCGAUCCCGCACAGGCCACACGCUGGAGAUUGGGUUCUGAGCCUCUUGGCCGGCCGGUUGGAUGACUUGGACCGUCAAGACCAAACGCUGCAGCUGCAGCUGCAGGUACGUCUGCUGGCCAUCAAUUCCAUGGCCUUCCACGGCCACAGAAUCUAACCAUUCAUGCUCAAAUCAUCUCCAUUUUCUUCCGUGCCUUUCGUUUUUCCUUUCACCGGAUCGUCUUGUUUAUUAGCCAAGCUAUGUCGUUGCAUAACCACAAAAAAGGGUCUCUCCUUGCUUGUUGGAUGAGGCACCCAAGAUUGUAUUCUAGUUCAAGUACCACAAAUUUGUUGCUGCCAUACAUAUACUGGUUUGUUGAUAACCAUCAAGCUAGGGAUGUCAUUUGGCACCACACAAAUAAGUCCUGGUUGACAUCAAGCACAUGGGUAUGUACUUUUGUGUACUCCAAUAAUAUUGCCACUUCGGUAAAAAAAAUGAAACGUAUUAAGAGAAAAGCAAGUCAUGCAGUGUUUUUUUAUUUGAAGGGAAAAUGAUAGCGUGUGUAUAUGUCACGUCUGUAAUGUUUUCAUGUAAAUGUUAUUGGUGCUGCUUAGCUCAAGUUUCCUGGAAUUAUCAUUGUCUUGGUCUACUACAGACCAUUGAUCCUUUUGAAGAAUGCUAGCCGUGUUUGCCUUGCACAAUCUUUCUCCAAUACGCGCUCUAGUGAUGUUGUCCUUGUUAAUCAGUUUCCAAAUCCGUCAAGAGGAAAAUAUACAUGUCACUAGUCAUGACCCCCACAUCCACAGUACCUAAUCAAGAAUUUUCAGAGGAUUUCCAGCUAUCUGCUAAUCUUCCAACAAGUGCUAAUAUGAGAUAGGUUGUUGGGACCCUAGCUUGCAUCCAUUAUUAGAGUGAUUAAGCGGAAAAUGACGAUUCAGGUAUAUAUAGGCAAUACGAAAACAUAUACAAUUGGAUUCUCUUUCAAGAAGAGACUUACAAUUGGGCUACCUGUGCGGCGAUGAAUCAAAAAGUUUGAGUGGAUUCGAGUCCAAAAUAUUCCAGCAUAUAUAUAGUGCAUGCAUGCACGCAUGCAUCUUAAGUAUAGGACUUUCUACUUGCCGUAGAAGGCGCCGGUCGCCAUGGCGUCGUCGUUGGCUUGGCCGAGCGCCGCCUCGCUGAGGUACUUGUCGGCGAGCUGCACGCGCUUCACGUUCUCCUGCUCCUGGACCAGCAUGUGGCCGUACUCCAUGAGCUUCUCGAUGGUCAUCUUGGGCUGGUCGAACGUCGGCGGCCCCUCCCUGGAGUUGACGAGCCGCUUGGAGAUGUUCUCGACGCCGAUCUCGCCGACCCACUUGCGCACCUCGUCGUCGUACACCCGCGCCCGCAGCGCGCCGAAGAAGUCGAUGGACUGCCCCGGGAAGGUGUCCACCAGCCUCACCACGGCCUCGUCGGGGACGUUGUCGGUGCGGAAGAUGCCCUUGCACACGCCGAUGCGGUCCUCCCGGGUGGGCGCCCAGUAGAACUUCUCCAUGCGGCCGUCCCGGAUGAGGGGCGCGUACAGCGUCGAGAAGUCGUUGCCGGUGACGAUGAUGGGCACGCGUGGGUUCUCCUCCUUGUUGUACAUCCCCGGGAGCUGCACGUUGGUGGGCGCGUCCGCGAUGUUCAUCAGGGUGGCGUUCACCAUCUGGUUGUUCACCGUGUACUGCGUCGUCCCGCCCAUCCGCCCCGCGCCGGCGUCCAGGUCGUUGAUGAAGAGGCAGCACAUCUUGCCCUUCUUGAUAAUGUCGGCAGCCUCGCGGUACCUCUGCCGGAUCAGCUUGGCCGGCUCGCCGGCGUUGCCGCUCUCCAGCUCUCCGGCGCUCAUCAUGAUGGGGUUGAUGCCCAUCUUGGCGAACACCAGCUCGCACUGGAACGACUUGCCCUGUCCCUUGCCUCCCCAGAUACCCAGGAUGAGAGGGACCUUGAUGUUGGGGAGUGUCAUGAAGUUCUUGGCGAGGUGGACGAUGAGCUUGUCCAUGAACGCCGGGGCGAUGUACAGCCCGUCCAUGGUGUUGUCGAAGUCGUACUUGCGCAGGCCCUGGCUGAUGUACUCGUAGGAGCUCAGGAUGGCCUCGUGGGUGCCGUCGCCCAUGGGGGCCUGGAACAGGGAGUCCACGAUGCCUUUCCCCCUCGUGAUGUCCUGCUGGUCAUCGGAGAUGUCGUAAGCGAGACCCUUCCACCGAUCGGCAUCGGUCUGCUUGCCCUCGUCAAGUUCCUUUUUGGCCGCCAUGGCCCUGACCACCCUAUUGUUGAUCUUGUUGCCACCAUGGUAGUAGUUCAACGCACCGGCCUGCUUCUUCACCUUCUUCCCGAGGAAGGUGGUCGGGGUCGACGCCUGGAAGUAUAACAUUGCAGUCAGCCCCAACCAGAUUCAUGUACGUUGGCUCAUUUGGUUCAAUAGCAGUUGCCACGAUGCACGCUUGAGUUGAAUAUAUGCUUCAUUAAUUUGUAGAUAAGGGCCUCUCUGAUUCAGAGGAUUCCCAAAGAAAUUUUGGAGGAUUCUAAUCCUUAGGCUAUUUUUUUCAAUGUGGGUUGUUUGAUUUGUAGGAUUCCAAUUCACGUGAUUUUUUUUUCUUAUGAUUCAUCUGUACUAGUUUUUCGUAGGAAAAUAUUCAUCCACUCCAACCUAAUGUGAAAAAAUUUACGUUUUUCUUGUACACAAUCAAACAACCAUAUUAUUCAAAAGUUUCAAAGAUGGUGUGCCAUUCUGUUCCUAUGUUUUUCAUAUUCCAACGAUUUAGGAAUACUAUGAAUCAAAGAUGUCGUAAGUUUUCUAGGAAGUGUAUCAACCGUUGAUUUGGGCAUUUUCAGUCUUCAGUCACUAUUUAAUUGCAUGUCAUAUAAAAUUAAUUAGUCCAUCCAAAAGCUCGAGCCUAUGAAGAGAGGCAGAAGGUUGAAAGUAUAUUUCAACGCUCCAACUCAUACCAGGAGGGGUGGGCCCGUGUUGAGGGGAGUGGGGGCCCAAGAUCGCAUUCAAAAUAUGAAAUUUCAAUAUGAUUUGUAUAACUUCUAGGGGAAAAUGCUAAAACUCAAUGAAUUUAGACAAAAAUGUAUCACCACUCUUAUGUUUGGCCCGUAGUCAAAAUAGUUUCUCGGUCUGCCUCUGCAUACUGGGCCUUGAAAUUGAUGUCUCAUGGCUUGAAUAACAUAUUGGAUUACAUAACAACUUAACCAGCUCAGCCAAAAGUUCUUGCUGAUGGAGAAUAAUGAAAAAUAGUCAGUUUUUUAAAUUGUUGUAUCUAGAUUCAAUCUUUCUUCCCUCUCCCUCCCUCCUUCAUAUCGACCAUUCACUUUUCUUUUAAAGAUUAUUAGAUCUAGAUCUAGUUUUCUCCUCACUCGGUCCCCUUCUUGAAGGCAGGAGACAAAGAAGAACCGGUUGAGAAUCUAUAUGUCACUCAAAAUUCUCACAAACAGGCUAGACAACCGUGUGCCUUCACUCGAGACUUUUUUUAGGUCCUACCUUUGUUCUCCUCCUCCCCGCAAUACCAUCUAAAGAGUGUAACCACUAACAUCGCACAUUUCUCAACCCUCACCCCGCACUAUUUAUAGUUUGCGUCGUGAUUCAACAAACCACACAAUAGUUGCUCCUUAAGAAAAUCUCGCUACCAACUCGCAACUCCUAUUCUUUUUCAUCCACGCCACCAAGAAUCAGCAGCUAGUGCUGCCUACAUUAUCUUUGCCGUGCUAGCUCAACAUUUAUGGUCAUGCCCAAACCGAGCACAAAUGACCUCAUUUGAUAGCCUCGCCCCACGACGGCCGACCAUUCACCCCACCACCCUAGUCUCGAUAAGCCCCGGAAGGCAUGGGUGAGGAAAAGAUGACCUUGUCCGAGUCAACACAUAGAGGAGGCCCUGCUUGUCGCGUCCAAAUCUCAAAGCAAGAUCACACGGUCACAAAUUAUAUUGUAAUUGUACAAAAUGAAACAAUCCAAAGCUGAAAAUAUGUAGCAAGUCAGCCAUAUUUAGAGGAGGCGAUGAGUAUUGUUUUAGUAACUUAGCGAGUAGACGUACAUACGUUCUGUCCACUGGAUUAAGGAUCAGCUGCCAUGAGUGUAGGUCUAGUCAUACGUACCGGAGCUCCAACGGUGGACGAGAAAGCAGAAGCCAUCGUGUCGAUUGUUCUCUCCCCGCACCUGAUAACUUAAUUAGUUUCAGAUUAAUUUGAUGUGCGUACAGUGGUAUAUGCAAGCUCAGCUUAGGCGUACUACUAGUACACCUGCAGAUGCAGCUCGACUGAGAUGGUCAGUGAUCGACCGAGCUGAUGUGGAUAAAAGAGAGGGUGCGCUGGCUAGCAAGUACAGAUGCGAUGCCGAUCGGUGCAGCUUGGCUAUGGCGGCUUAUAUAGGUGCACGCACAGACGGCCAUGGUGCAAACGUCCAACACGACUGGAGUGACCUACAGCGUGCGCGACUAUUCUAGAGCGUCCCUGCGUAAUCACGCAGUCAGGCGAGAUAAGCUGUGAUUGUUAGGCUCUAAUUGGCUUUGCUUAGCGCGAUGGCUGCGAUAAGUAGUGAGGCGAGCCAAGUGGAGUGGAUGAUGAGAUGUUAAUUGUGUGGAUGGGGCUGGGCAUCGCCCAGGAGCCACACGCUGAGGAUUGGCUUCCUGGCUACCCUGGCUCAGUCCAUCAAAGGCGUCGACGUGGCUGCUUGUCAGCCUCCUGAUCGGCGCAUCCAACGGCCUAAAAGAAAUCUAAGCUGCCUGCCUUCGGUUCCUUGUGGGUUACGGGCCCGGAGCAUCUUUUUGCGGGUAUGCAUGCAUUAUUAAAUCAGCGUGCGCCGCCGUAGAAACAAUGAUGCCUUCAUCCUUCACCAUAAAAAUCACAUCUUGUUCGUUCCAUUUUCUUUUUGCAUUUUGCAUGAAACGUCUAGACUGGCUUUACACCACCACAAAGUACUAAUCUCAUUCCCUCCGGUAGGGCCCGGGUUACUGUCAGGAAACUUCAUGAACUAGCUUUUUUGUUUUGUAUCUACUAGGUUGCACAUCACCACAGGAUCUAAAAUUUCCAUCUUAUCUAAAAAGCCUCUAUGGUUAUUUUUCAUUUCCUUGCUUAUUUAUUUGGACACCUGUGAAAUUAAUUUUAUAGAUACAACUGAAUCGCAUUCUAUUUUUUGAGUGUACAACUUAAGGGCGUGUACAAUGAUGCUAUCUCAAGAGUCCCGUAUAAAAUAAAUGUUGAGGUAGACGAGAGAGAAAUCAUUCCAUGCUAUGAUUAGAUUUAUCUUAAUUCUUCUUUCUUAAUUGCGGAUGCUUGCGAGAGGGGAUAAUCAUAAGUGGGAGGCUUGCUUACGUAAGAACAGCACCGAAGCACCGAUCCACCCACAUAUUAAAUUAUCAAAGUAACAAACGUGAAUCAAACAAACAUGAUGAAAGUAACUAGAUGAUAAUUCUCAUGUGUCCUCGAGAACACUUUGCUUUUCAUAAGACAUCGUUCCGGCUUGUCCUUUGCUAUAAAAAGGAUUGGGUUACCUUGCUGCACAUUUCCUACUAUUGUUACUUGUUAUCCGUUAUGAAUUACCUUGCUACAAAAUAAUCUAUUACCGAUAGGUUCGACACUCUUACUUAUCGAAAUGACUGUGAUUGAUUCCUUAUACUAAUUGUGGGUCAUCAGGAACACUUUUAGAUUUGAUCGAUGUGAAUAGAUUCGUAAUUACGUAUUACGUGGUAAUUUGGAAUAUGACGGGAAACAAGCUCAUAAUGUAUUGAUGGUUUUUGGUUCGAAGCCCAAAAUGGUUCCCAGAUGUGUACGUGUAUGCCCACUAUCACACACAGUCCAAAUAUCGUCAUCGUGUCCGAUGGAUGGGCUGUCGUGCCUCCCAUGGGUGCCAAACGGUUGACUAGAACCGCUAUAUGCAGGUGGUUGCUCGCCGUUGAGGCAGCUGCGGCGUGCUCUGCUCAUGCCCCCCUCCCCUGAGCGCUCUGAUCGCCGUUGAGGCGGCUGAUACAUCUCCAACGUAUCUAUAAUUUUUGAUUGUUUCAUGCUAUCAUAGUAUCAAUCUUGGAUAUUUUAUAUAACUUUUUGAACUAUUUUGUAUCAUUUUUUAGGACUAACCUAUUAACCCAGUGCCUAGUGCCAGUUGUUGUUUUCUGCUUGUUUUUGGUUUUCCAGGAAAACGUACCAAAUGGAGUCCAAACGCUACAAAUUUUUUGAUAAUUUUUUUCUAGACAAGAGAGACUGAGGGAGUCCUGGAUUAGGGGGUGUUCGGGUAGCCGGACUGUACCUUCAGCCGGACUCCUGGACUAUGAAGAUACAAGAUUGAAGACUUCGUCUCGUGUUCGGAUGGGACUUUCCUUGGCGUGGAAGGCAAGCUUGGCGAUGCGGAUAUUCAAGAUCUCCUACCAUUGUAACCAACUCUAUGUAACCCUAACCCUAUCCGGUGUCUAUAUAAACCAGAGGGUUGUAGUCCGUAGGCAAUCAACUCCAUACACAACAAUCAUACCAUAGGCUAGCUUCUAGGGUUUAGCCUCCUUGAUCUCGUGGUAGAUCUACUCUUGUGCUACCCAUAUCAUCAAUAUUAAUCAAGCAGGAGUAGGGUAUUACCUCCAUCGAGAGGGCCCGAACCUGGGUAAAACAAAGUGUUCCCUGCUUCCUGUUACCAUCCGGUCUAGACGCACAGUUCGGGACCCCCUACCCGAGAUCCGCCGGUUUUGACACCGACAUUGGUGCUUUCAUUGAGAGUUCCUUUGUGCCGUCACAAUCAGGAAGGAUGCUUCCUCCCGUCUUUAAAGACGGCGCCGUUGCUAAGGGAGCCUUGGCUGUCGGCCAAACCCUCUGACUAGGUGGUUUUCUCAUGACCGCCUGUUCGGCUGUUGCGCCGACGAUGACCUCUCGGGUCAUCAAAAGCAGCCCACACGUCAGCUCGGAGCUCGUCGAGCAAGUAGAUCCAAUGGAGCUCUCUUCCGUAAACGAGCUCUUGGAUCGCAUCGCCGCCCUGGGGGUCGCUACGGAUUACGACCAGGUUGGGCUUAAACCCGAUCUAAGAGAAACUAACUCUCCCCAAGUCACCCACCACGUUGCCGUGGUAGAGGCGCAGUGUGGCGACCCUUCAUCUAUUUUGAGGACUAGCUACGUCCGAAUUCCCGACUCCUCCAAGCCGGAUACCGGCGAAGAGGAGGAUGUAACUCAAGACCUGAGCUUAGGAUCAGGCAACGGGCUAGAUUCGUUGGACAACGUCUAAGAACCCGAACUUCAGAGUUCGGAAACUCUUCGGCCUCCGAAUCUUGGAUUGGGUGAGGCUUCAGAUUCAACGACACCCGCCCACCCAAACGUAAGCGCUCUCUCCCAAAUCAGGCAGAGGCCCGAGGAAACAGUACAUCAUUACUGGGCCAGAUUCCUCCUGGUUAUGAACAGGAUAAAAGAUUGCCGCAAGGGAGACGCAAUCUCUAUUUUUUGCAGUAAUUGCACGGAUGAGGGAAUACUUAACGCCGUAAGUCAUCGUGAUAUUACACGCUUCGCUGACUUGGCGUCCAUAGUACAAAAAUACUGUGCGAUGGAAAGCGCCUGGAAAACCGAAAUAAAAUUUUGGGACAAUCCGGCCUUGAAUAGUAAUCCCGUCCGAACUAAGAGGGUGCAUCAUCAUACGACACCCGGGAUAAACACCAAAAAGCCAAAACCCUCUACAGGGCGUGGAACCGUACUGGAAAGGUGGCUUGAUGGACCCUGUAGAAUUCACAGUACAGAGGACGCCACACCAACUCACAGCCUUAGAGCAUGUUGGAUACUCCGGCAGGUGGCCAAAAUCGGCGAGAACCUCUUAAUCCUGGAGGCCGCAGAAAGGCAGCCCGAGGACACUAGUACCGUUCUCACAAUCUUCGAGACUUUCGCAUCAAACAAUAUGCGAAAAAGAACACUCCGCAGCCUCGCCGAAGUCUAUCAAGUUGCAACAAUAAAUCCAUGGAGCGACACUGCCAUUACCUUCAACGUAAGUGAUGAACCUAGAUUCCGAACAGCCCGAGCACCAGCCGCAUUGGUCCUCAGUCCCAUAGUUGACGACUUUUGCCUCACCAAGGUGCUCAUGGAUGGAGGCAGCGGACUGAACCUCAUUUAUGAGGAAACCCUUCAAAAAAAUGGAAAUAGACUGGAACCGCAUCGAGCGAAGCAGCACAACCUUUAGAGGAAUAAUCCCCAGUCGGGAAGCACGCUGCACAGGAAAAAUCACACUAGAUGUGGUGUUCGGCAUGCCGGAUAAUUACAGGUCCGAAGAAGUCACGUUUCAGGUGGCCCCGUUUAAGAGCGGACAUCACGCUUUACUAGGUCGGGAAGCAUUCACAAUCUUCCAAGCAAUACCCCAUUACGGGUACAUGAAGCUUAAGAUGCCCGGGCCGAAUGGAAUUAUCACUCUAGCCAGUGAUCCGGACAUAGCACUCCGCGCCGAAAACAAGACGGCCGCAUUAGCCCUUGAGGCACUAUCCGAAGCCUUAGCGGCCGAGGAACUGACUGCGCUGCGCUCCAUGGUUAACAGGGAUGAUGUGAUACUCGACAAGAGAUCCAAAUCCACAUCCUUCAAGCCAGCUGACGAAAUAGUCAAAUUCCAGGUCCAUCCAACGGACCCCAAUAAAACAGCUUCCAUCGGGGCACGACUGAACCUUGAUGUAGACGCUGCACUGCGAGAGUUCCUACGAGAGAACUGGGACAUUUUUGCCCGGCACCCUUCAGACAUGCCAGGAAUCCCACGCAGGCUGGCGGAACACAGCUUAAAUAUCCUAAAAGGAUUCAAACCUGUCAAACAAGCCCUUCGGCGUUUUUCCGAACCCAAGAGACAGGCUAUGGGAGAGGAGCUAGCCAAGCUAUUGGAGGCCGGAUUCAUUAGAGACAUAAAACAUCCGGACUGGCUAGCAAACCUGGUGAUGGUACCAAAGAAGGACAAAUCCUGGCGCCUGUGUGUCGAUUUUAAAGACCUUAACACGGCUUGCCCAAAGGAUCCCUUCCCCCUCCCCCGUAUCGAUCAAAUUAUCGAUGCCACCGCAGGACACGGUUCGUUGUGUUUUCUUGACGCAUACUCCGGUUACCAUCAAAUUAAGAUGGCAGAAUCAGACCAAGCUGCAACAGCAUUCAUCACACCAUACGGCCCAUUCUGCUUCAACACAAUGCCCUUCGGGCUGAAAAACGCCGGCGCAACAUAUCAGCGCAUGAUCCAGACAUGUCUGGCAAACCAGAUCGCCAAAACAGUGGAGGCGUAUGUGGAUGAUGUGGUCGUCAAAUCAAGACAUGUCGAAUCCCUAUUAAACGACUUGAGGCUUACAUUCGAUAACCUCCGACAAUAUGACAUCAAGCUCAAUCCAGAAAAAUGCGUCUUCGGCGUUCCAGCCGGAAAGCUCUUGGGCUUCAUUGUAUCCGGUAGAGGAAUUGAAGCAAACCCAGCCAAGAUCCGAGCUUUGUCACAAUUGGAUGUCCCAAAGGACCUCAAACAAAUACAAAAAUUAACCAGAUGCGUGGCGGCUUUAAGCCGCUUCAUCUCCCGCUUGGGAGAAAAGGCACUACCCCUCUAUCGCCUCCUUCGGCGCACCGAACACUUCGAGUGGACGGAGGCCGCCAUGGCCGGACUUGAUGAAAUAAAAGCCAUAUUGGCAACAAACCCAGUCCUGGCCGCGCCGAACACCAGCGAACCAAUGUUAUUAUACAUUGCAGCAACACAUCAAGUUGUCAGCGCAGUGCUCGUUGUCGAGCGGGAAAUAGAUGCACAUGAAUUCCCCCUUCAAAGGCCGGUCUACUACGUAUCCAUUGUCCUCACUCCAUGCAAAUCACGGUACCCGCAUUAUCAAAAGAUUGCAUACGCGGUAUUCAUGGCAUCCCAAAAGCUACGACACUACUUUCAAGAGUGUUCCAUAAUAGUAGCCUCAGAAGUACCACUCAAUGAUAUUAUUAACAACCGCGACGCAACGGGCCGGAUUGCAAAAUGGGCCAUCGAGCUUCUCCCGUUUGAUAUAACCUAUAAGCCACGGCGAGCUAUUAAAUCUCAAGCUUUGGCCGACUUCGUCGCAGAAUGGACGGAGGUCGAGCUCCCUAAAGAGCACGGCACAUAUUCAAACUGGAUUAUGCAUUUCGACGACUCCAAAAUGUUGACCGGACUAGGGGCUGGCAUCGUCCUGAUGUCCCCCACAGGAGACACAGUCCAAUAUGUGCUCUAGAUUAUGUACACGGAUUCCAACAAUGCAGCCGAAUAUGAGGCCCUCCUACAUGGUCUCCGGAUAGCAGUAUCCAUGGGUAUCCAGCGCCUAGAGGUACGCGGGGAUUCAAACCUCACGAUAUCCCAAAUAAAUGGAGACUUCGACACCAAGGACCCAAAAAUGGCAGCUUACCGCAACGCCGUCCUAAAAAUGUCAGCUCGAUUCGAAGGGCUGGAGUUUCACCAUAUAGCCCGAGAAAACAAUCAAGCAGCGGACGUCCUGGCACGCAUUGGAGCAAAACGCGAUGCAGUCCCCCCCAACAUAUUUUUGGAAAGAUUGUUCAGGCCAUCCGUAGCAUGGGAGGGUGAACCCGCAAAUAACAGCCCGGACCCAGCCGCACCACUCGACGCCGAACAAUCUGACACAAUUGGAGGCUCUGCCAACAAAAUUACACCUUCAGCCCACGUAAUAAUGGCGGUUAUCGCCCCGUGGACAGAACCAUUCCUAGCCUACCUUACUAGACAGGAACUCCCGGAGGACCAAAACGAGGCCCGCUGCAUAGUGCGGCGAUCUAAAGCCUAUAGAGUCCAUGAGGGAGAGCUUUAUAAGAAAAGCACUACCGGAGUCCUUCAAAGGUGCAUCUCCGAAGAGGAAGGGCGGAACCUUCUGGCUGAAAUUCAUGCCGAAUUCGGUGGUCACCACGCCGCUGCUCGGUCCCUUGUUAGCAAGGCUUUCCGUACAGGCUUUUAUUGGCCGACGGCCCGGGCAGACGCUCAGGACCUAGUCCAACGAUGCGCUAGUUGCCAACUUUUUGCCAACCAAAGCCAUAUGCCACCCACCGCACUCCAAACUAUACCCAUCACCUGGCCUUUUGCGGUCUGGGGGCUUGACAUGGUCGGACCCCUUAAAGGUGGGACCGAUAAAAAAAAUACUUACUGGUCAUGGUGGAUAAAUUCACCAAAUGGAUAGAAGCCAAACCUGUUAAAACGGCCGAAUCCGGACCUGUGAUAGACUUCUUAUCUGGGGUUGUACACCGUUAUGGCGCCCCCACAGCAUCAUAACUGAUAACGGUACAAACUUCACCGCCGACGAGGUAAAACUCUGGUGCAAAAACAUGGGCAUCAAGCUCGAUUAUGCUUCCGUCUAUCACCCACAAACCAACGGCCAGGUCGAAUGUGCAAAUGGUCUUAUCAUGAGCGGCAUUAAACCCAGACUGGUGCGGUCCCUCAAGGAAUCUAACACGCACUGGGUAGAGGAGCUCGAUUCCGUGCUAUGGGGGCUGCGGACCACGCCAAAUCGCACCACCGGAUACACACCAUUUUUUAUGGUGUACGGUGCAGAGGCAGUUCUGCCCUGCGACAUAAUUCAUGACUCACCUAGAGUGCGCAUGUAUGAAGAAAGAGAAGCCGGGCUCGAUCGGCAGGAACAACUUGGACGCCCUGGAGGAGGAGCGUGACGUGGCAAAAGCCCGUUCCGCAUUUUAUCAACAGCAGGCCCGAAGAUAUCAAAGUAGAGAAGUAUGGGCCAAAAAUUACAAUGUUGGCAAACUAGUUCUACGCCUGCCGGAUAAGAAAAAGGACAAACUCAAGCCCAAGUGGGAAGGUCCAUUCAUAAUCGACCAAGUCCUGACUGGCGGGGCGUACCGCCUGCGAGAUGCGUCGGAUAACCGACUCGAGCCGAACCCGUGGAACGCCACCCGUCUCCGAAGAUUCUAUGCCUAGCGCCGGACUCUGUGUUCGUCUCCUUCCUCUGCCCAUUUUUUGCAUUUUUCUGUCUUACAUUUCUCUCCUUCCCCUCUUUUCUUUUAUAGCCCUUAAAGGCUCAUCUAGUGACGCGCCACUCACGCUCAUUAAACCUGGGGGCUUCUUUAAUAGAAGCUUAUUUAUACGGGCUUCACGCCCAACACAUGCGUCAAACUUCCGCAUGUACCUUUUUCUUCACCAUUAUAUGCUUCGAUAUGACUUAAGUUUUGGCCAAGCUGGGUUGCCUGGCUCCUGUGCUUACCCCUACAUUCCCGAUUGUUCGGCUAGGCGGUAAAGGGAGCACCUCUGCGAUUGUUACUGCCGGGUCAGCCGGAUGUGUACCUCAGACUGGGUGAAGCCGAAAGCUAGCGUUCUUAAGGGAAUUUUCGGUCGGUGAGAUAAAAGAUGAUCUUUUUACUCAUUUUAUGCGCCCCCAGAUGCUUUUUCUGCAUCUUUUUACGCAGUCCGGACAUGCACUUUAGGGCAUGCCUCCCAGCGAAAGGAACCCCUAACGGAACUAUUCUCUCUGGAAGAUGUUUCUUACUAACCAUGUAAUAUAACAUAACUAGUUGGGCACUUGUCUGAUAAAGCACUAAUGACCCCUACGCCUGGUCUCCACGCAUACCACGGUUCUUAUAUAACCGCUAUGGUAUUCGGACACACUCCGGAUCGUCAGGUCCCGAGGUUGAAGCGAAAAGGUCGGCAACGACAAACGAUCUACAAUCCGGCUAGAAGGCAUUACACAUGUCAAUUCAAAAUUACAUAGUCAUUCUGACUGAUUGUAUUCCUCUUCUAUACCAUCUAACAGGCUGUCUAAUUUACAGUCCUGCUGGGAAUACUUCGCGGCUAACUCUACUUGGCCGUAUACUAAGCUUACAGGGAUCUCCUUCCCGUCAGGCCCCACUGGUCCGACCACGGCCAUGUGGUUUGGGUCAGACUUCGUAAAACGGGUCUUCACCAUGGCCCGGACCUCCCUAGCGCCUUGUCGGCAGGCUGAUAUCUUCCACAACCGGAAGCGCCGCCGAGCUCCCUUCAGCUUCUCCGCAAGCUCUCCAGGGCCCUCGGGCAUGGAGUGGGCAGGCCAUAAGGCUUGGGCAACACCUCGCAUCGCCUGCCGAAUUCGCUCGUGCAGUUGCAUGAGUUCGGGAAGAAGGUCACCCGUAGAACCGGGCAUCUCCUCUGCAGGACGACCUGUGAGCAUACCUACAGACAUUACUCUGUUAGUCGACUUCCUCGCCGAACUCUUUUUUCAAAGUUCGUUCAAGCACUUACUAAAAAUGCCGCGUCGAAGCCGCUGAUUCUCCUUCGUGGAGUCCGACAGCUGGCCACGAACAUCUUUAAGUUCGACGUCCAGCUUGGUAUUGGCAUCCUGAAGAUCAUUCUUCUCUCGCCUCACCUUUGUCAACAUACUCUCACUGGACUUUAGCCGGCGUAAGAGUUGUUGCUUGUCCGGAUCUAAUCCGGCGCCAUCUGCAAUAUGAUUUGUCAGAUUUGCACCCACACCACACAGUACUAAUCUUUCAAAGUGUAUCUUACCUGAGGGGGUCUCUUUGGGCUCCCCUGCUGCGGCUAGUGCGGCCUCUAGUUGGGCCUUACACUUUUCCAGCUCCUGGGACAGUACGGUAUUCUUCUCUGUAAGAAGCUGCAUAUUAAAUGAUCCUUAAAUCAGUUGCUCUAACUGUUUCAUGUCUCGGGGGCUACUGGUAUAUAUAUAUUUGACCAAAAUUUUCUUACUCGUAUGUCUUUUACAUACUGCUCCGUGGCUCUGGCUAAACCAUUUUGAGCGGCAUGGAGGUACGAAUCUCCUGAAUUAAAGGCAUCUAAAGCCUCUUGGGAGAAACAAGCGUCACGUAGAACUGUCCGGCGACGCCUGUUGUUCAUGGCACUCUCCACUUCAGAAUUUGUGGUAGAUAGCCUGUCCGCAACCUCUGUCGGAGGAGCGUCCGGUGCGCGCCUUGUGCUCGCCUCCGCUUCCUGGCCAGACGUUGGAGCUUGGCUAGUGGAGGCGCGAUUGGCAACCUCUCCGGAUGUAGUCCGGCAAGGCCUCUUCGUUCUGAAGAUAGCACGAAUGUUAAUAUGCCCUGACAAAAUAACACCAGGGAAACAGAGGGUGCGCUAUACCUUUGCGCCGGCAUCUCAGUCCGGACUACAUUCCUUUUUUCCCCACGGGGCCCUGCGGCCCCUCGUUGACUAGCCGCCGCAGGUUCGGCCUCCUGCCUCAGAAAUCUCCCCUGCAAAACACGGUUGUCAUCAGAAACACCGGAAUACGUGAGAGUGGAAUCUCUCUCAAGGGAAUGAGACUUCGGUUUCUGUCACCUGGGAGGCCGGGAUUAACCCUGGGUAAUCAGCCGUAAUGGCUACCAAGGUGUUGUCCUUGCUUAGCUGAUGGAACACCCCGUCGAUAAGCUCCACCGAUAUGUCCGGAUCCUCUUCGGAGUCCGGAUCGAGGGACCGUUCUGGGUCCUCGGGUUGUGGAGGGCGGCUGUUUAUAUCCUUUACCACCUGUCGCAGUUCUUGCACUGAAGUCGUUAGACUACAUAUCUAACCGUGUGAGUACAAAACAAACGGGCAAGCACAGUUGUUCACUUACCCAACUUGGAGGAUCGUACAUAGUAAAUCCGGCCUGCGGGUUGACACGGAGGAAUUCCUCCUUUUCUCCAUUGUACAAAGAGGAUAAGAUCUUUACUAGGGCGGCAGCUGAAGCCGGCCCCUUACGACCGUAACGGGUGGCGUCAUCCUCCCCGUUGAAAUCCCACAUGGGGUGGCCUCUAUAUUGAAGUGGCUGCACCCCCCGCAUAAUGCAUGCGGCCAUUACUCCAAUCAUGGUUAGUCCGGAAUGAGCCAACAGUCUUAUCCGGCCCAUCAGGUAAAGGACGUCUCUGUCGCUUUCUCUCUGAGAGCUCCGUGGACGCCAACUCAAGCGUUUCUUCAAUGGAGCACUGUUGAACUCAGGGAGACCGACCCGGAUAGGGUCCGGUAGCGGGACGUCAUCUAUAUAAAACCAUUCCGAAGGCCAGUCCUCAGACGCCUUCUUCGGGGUUCCGGAUAGGUAUCCGGUCCCGGCGAUGCGCCAUACUUCAGCUCCGCCCACUUGGUAUAUAGACCCCUCUUUAGAACAGGGCACCAGGCAGAAUAAUCUCUUCCACAGCGUGAAAUGAGCCUCAACGCCUAGAAAUAGCUCGCAAAGGGCGACGAAACCCGCAAUAUGCAAUACGAAGGCGGGCGUGAGGUUGUGCAGCUGGAGGCCGUAGAACUCCAGAAGCCCGCGGAGAAAUGGGUGAAUUGGAAAUCCCAGUCCCCUUAUUAGAUAGGGGACGAGGCACAACCGCUCUCCUUUAGAAGGAUUGGGGGUGCUCUCCGCUUGUUUUCCGCCAUUAUAGGUGGCGAGACCGGCUCGGACCGGGACCAUGUAUGCCUGAGGGAGAAAUCCCUUGGCCUGAAGUGAUGCUAACUCGCUAUGCGGGAUGGUGCAACUCUCCCAGUCCCCGGGUUUGGGACCGGAGGGGCGAGGGGAGGAGCUACGAUGGCUGGUCAUGUUGGAAUGGACCUUUGCUGGAAGCGCUCUAAUGAUAACUCGCGGAAAGGAGAAGAUGUGGUUUUUGGACCUAAAUCCCCAUCCCGUUAAAUAGGCGACUCGUUUAUAUGGCUAGGGGUGUGGAUGUAAAAACACCCCAGCUUUUCGCAUUCAUUUGAACACGUGGAAGACGACCAUUAUUGGGCGUGGAAGCCGAGGAGCACUACAUUACAAAAAUCGGACAUUAUUCCUACAGGUACACAAGAUUUGGAGAGGAACCCGCCUUGCAAUGCCGAACAAUCUGCGCGCUGGACUCAUCGUCAUUGAAGCCUGGUUCGGGGGCUACUGAGGGAGUCCUGGAUUAGGGGGUGUUCAGGUAGCCGGACUGUACCUUCAGCCGGACUCCUGGACUAUGAAGAUACAAGAUUGAAGACUUCGUCCCGUGUCCGGAUGGGACUUUCCUUGGCGUGGAAGGCAAGCUUGGCGAUGGGGAUAUUCAAGAUCUCCUACCAUUGUAAUCGACUCUAUGUAACCCUAACCCUAUCCGGUGUCUAUAUAAACCGGAGGGUUGUAGUCCAUAGGCAAUCAACUCCAUACACAACAAUCAUACCAUAGGCUAGCUUCUAGGGUUUAGCCUCCUUGAUCUCGUGGUAGAUCUACUCUUGUACUACCCAUAUCAUCAAUAUUAAUCAAGAAGGAGUAGGGUAUUACCUCCAUCGAGAGGGCCCGAACCUGGGUAAAACAAAGUGUUCCCUGCUUCCUGUUACCAUCCGGCCUAGACGCACAGUUCGGGACCCCCUACCCGAGAUCCGCCGGUUUUGACACCGACAGAGACCAUAGAAGCUUCGGCAGGAGACCUGAUGGCGAGCAAGGAGACGACAAGGCAAUAGGGCGCGCCCUGAGGGGCCGUGUUUCCUUGUGGGCCCCUCGUGGCUCCGUCCGGCCUAAUUCCAACUCUAUAAAUUCUCUAAAAUCGGGAAACCAAUAGAGAGCCACCCAAAACAUUAUUUUUCCGCCGCCCGCAAGUUUCUGUUCUUCCGCGAUCCCAUAUGGAGGCCUUCUCCGGUACUCUGCUGGAGGGGGAACCAAUCACAGAUGGCUUCUACAUCAUCUUUGCUGCCUUUUGAUGAUGCGUGAGUAGUUCACUACAAACCUACGGGUCCAUAGCUAGCAGCUAGAUGGCGUCUUCUCCCUCUUUGAUCUUCAAUAUAACAAUGUUCUCCUCGAUGUUCUUGGAAUUCUAUCCGAUGUAAUCUUCUUUUGCGAUGUGUUUGUUGGUAUCCGAUUAAUUGUGGGUUUAUGAUCCGAAUAUUUAUUAUAAGUAAUUGAGUCUUUUCUGAACUUUAUUAUGCAUGAUUGUUAUAGCUUUGUAUUUCUCUCUGAUCUAUCCGUUUGGUUUGGCCUACUAGACUGAUUUAUCUUCGGUGGAAGAGAUGCUUUGUAAUGGGUUCAAUCUUGCGGUGCUCUAUAUCCCAGUGAUAGAAGGGGAUAAAAUAGGUAUUUAUAUUGUUGCCAUUAAGGGUAAAACGAGGGGGUUUAUUCAUAUUGAUUGGGUUUACUUUGUCUACAUCAUGUCAUCUUGCUUAAGGUGUUACUCCGUUUUCAUGAACUUAAUACCAUAGAUGCAUGCUAGAUCGCGGUCGAUUGGUGGAGUAAUAGUAGUAGAUGCAAGCAGGAGUCGGUCUACUUGUCUCAGACAUGAUGCCUAUAUACAUAAUCAUUGCCUUGAAUAUUGCCAUAACUAUGCGCUUUUCUAUCAAUUGCCCAACAGUAACUUGUUCACCCACGGUAUGCUAUGUGUUCGAGAGAAGCCUUUAGUGAAAACUAUGGCCCCGGGUAUACUUUUAUCAUACAUAUAAAAAACCAAAAUAUCCUUCCUGCAUUUUUGAUCUUUUAUUUUGUUUUGCAAUUUAUCUAUCUACUUAUACAAGAUUUGAUCCUUGCAAGUAAUGAGUUCAAGGGGAUUGACAACCCUCUUGCUCGCAUUGGGUACAAGUAUUUGCUUUUGUAUGUGCAGGUGUUGUUCACGAGGCUUUGCGUGAUUCUCCUACUGGAUUGAUACCUUGGUUCUCAUUGAGGAAAAUACUUAUCUCUACUGUGUUGCAUCUCCUCUCCUGUUGGGGGAAAAAUCCCAACGCAGCUCACAAGUCGCAGGAAGAAUUUCUAUCGCCGUUGCCGGGGAGACAUCACACCAAAACAUAUCAAGUACCUUCGCACAAACUAUCAUCUACUUGCUCUACUUUUUAUUUGCCUUUUUUUGCUUUUUCCUCUCGUUAAUCUCCCCACUUUUCAUAAAAAAGACAAAUAUUUUUGUUUGCUCGUUUGCUUGCUUUGUCGUUAUGUCGCAAUAAACCACUAAGUAGUGUGAUUUUUCAAAUACUAAUAAUAAUGAUUUUAUUAGUACUCCAAUUGCUCCUCCCUCCACUAGUGCGGAGUCAUCUAAUAUUAAUGCUGCUUUGCUAAAUCUUGUUAUGAAAGAAGAAUUUUCUGGUAGUCCUAAUGAAGAUGAUGCAUCCCAUCUUAAUAUACUCACUGAAUUAUGCAAUAUGCAAAAUAAAAAGAUGCGUAUAAUGAUAUUUUCAAGUUGAAAUUAUUUAUGUUUCACUACGAGGCAUUGCUAAAACUUGAUUUUCAUCCUUGCUUCGAAAUAGUAUUGAUUCUUGGGAUAAGUGUAAGGAUGCUUUUAUUGAUAAGCAUUUUCCUUCCGCCAAAAUUAUUUCUCUUAGAAAUCAAAUUUUGAAUUUUAAGCAACUUGAGAAUGAACAUGUUGCACAAUCUUGGGAGAGAACGAAAUUAAUGAUAAGAAAUUGUCCCACUCAUGGUUUAAGUUUGUGGAUGAUUAUACAAAAUUUCUAGGCGGGACUAAACUUUGUUUCUAGAAAUCUUAUAGACUCUGCUGCAAGUGGUACCUUUAUGGAAAUCACAUUGGGAGAAGCUACAAACUCCUUGAUAAUAUAUUGGCGAAUUACUCUCAUUGGGCACACGAAAGAGCUCCGACUGGUUAGAAGGUAAAUUUUGUUGUAGAAAUUACUACUUUGAGUGAUAAAAUGGAUGCUCUUAUGAAAAUGGUUGCUAAUAAAAAUGCUCAUGUUGAUCCUAAUGAUGUGCCAUUGUCUACUUUGAUUGAGCAAAAUAAUGAUGUCAUUUAUGUGAAUUUUGUCUCUAGAAAUAAUUUCAAUAACAGUGCUUAUAUAGGUAAUUUUAAUCCUAGACCGUAUCCCCGAAGUUCCUCUAAUAAUUAUGGUAAUUCCUAUGGAAAUUCUUGUAAUAAUAAUAAUAAUAAUAAUAAUAAUAAUAAUAAUAAUAAUAAUAAUAAUAAUAAUAACAAUAAUAAUAAUAAUAAUAAUAAUAGGAUACCUACUGAUCUUGAGAGCACUAUUAAAGAGUUCAUUAAUUCUCAAAAGAUUUUCAAUGCCAUGGUAGAAGAAAAAUUGAAUAAAGUAGAUGUAUGACUAGGAACAUAGAUAUAAUUGCUCUUGAUGUGGAAACUCUUAAAUCUAAAAUCUUACCACCCAAGCAUGAUAUUAAUGAGUCCAUUGAAGCUACCUAUCUCUCCAUUAAUGAAAAUAAAGAAAGAACCCCUAGGUUGAGAGCUAAGCGAGAAUUCUAGAAAAGGCUAUUUCACCCGAUUUUUACCGUAAUCAUGAUGAAGAUAUUAAAAUGAUCGGUGUCUCACCCAUUGAAUCUUUGUUUAGGAAUAUAAAACUUGAUGAAAAGGGACUGGAUAUGAGUUAACUUUAGCUAGAAGGCGUCCUAAUUGUUCGGAGGGUGAUGAUCUUAAUGAUAAACAUAGUAAAAGUGGGUUUGGAGAGGUCAAGACUUUAACUAGUAAUGUGCCCACUACUUUGGAUUACAAGGACUUUAAUUAUGAUAAUUGUUCUUUAAUUGAGUGAAUUUUCUUGUUGAAAUCCAUGAUAAAUUCACCCAAUGCUUAUGAACAAAAUAAAGCUUUUACUAAACAUAUCGUAGAAGCUAUGAUGAAAGCUCAUGAAGAAAAGCUAGGGUUGGAGGUUUCAAUACCUAGGAAAUUGCAUGAUAAAUGGGAACCUACUAAUAAAGUAAAUAUUAAAUAUUAUGAAUGUGAUGCUCUAUGUGAUUUAGGUGCUAGCAUUUCCACUAUACCACAAUCUUUAUGUGAUCUGUUAGUCCUUGUUGAUAUGGAUGAAUGUCCCUUAAUUUGCACUUAGCGGAUCCAACUAUUAAGAAACCAUUGGGUAGAACAAAUGAUGUGCUUCUUAUUGCUAAUAGAAAUUAUGUGCUCGUGGAUUUCAUUGUGCUUGAUAUUGAAUGUCAUCUGUCUUGUCCUAUAAUACUUGGUAGGCCUUUCCUACGAACCAUAGGUGUUAUUACUCAUAUGAAAGAAGGAAACAUAAGGUUCCAAUUUCCAUUAAAUAAAGGAAUGGAACACUUCCUGUCGAAUUUCGGGUUCUGCAGACCCUUGAAAGGUUCGAACUCUGGGGUGCGUGCGAAGAACUCGUCCUCCCCAGUCUGCCUGCUCACUAAUCCCAUGGCCUAGCUCGACGAACCGAAUGGACAAGGGACAAAACAGUUUACCCAGCUUCGGGCCACCUUGCGGUGUAAAACCCUACUCCUGCUUUUUGGUGGAUUGGCCUCGAGGGGCUGAGGAUGAACUAAUAUAGUGGAGAACAGCCUCAGGAGGAGGGGUAUUCUUGUGCUCGAUGAGCUGGUGGGUGAGAGGAUGAUCUGAAUGAUCCCCCUUCUAUGGUGGUGGCUAGGUCCUAUUUAUAGUUGCUUUGGUCCUCUUCCCAAAUGAAGGCGGGAAGGGAUCCCACAAUGGCCAAAUUUGAAGGGAGACAACUAGUACAUGCUAUCCUAACAAAAGUAGUCUUCGCGUGCCAAAAGCUUCUGGUCAUGACGCCGUGGUGGGCUCGACGAUGACCUCUGUUCUGUUGUCCUGGCGGUCUUGGUCUUGUUGCACCGGAAUGAAAACCUUUGCUUGAUUCCUCGGGACUCCGCGCAUGCGCUUGCCUCCUUAGCACGAAAGAGAAAACUGAUACACUGCGCCUGCUGGCGCCUUCCUGGCCUUGGUCAUCAUGGCUCACGUCAUCCGAACCUCGCGAGGUGCACCUUGCAUAGAUAUCUCCGCUCCUCGGGAGCCAGCCUGGGGAGGCCGCCCCACAUGGAGGUCUUGGUUUCGUUCGCUUCGCGAGGCUUGGGCCCUUGCGAGGGUCUUGAGCUGUUGAUAUUGAAGCUGGUCCGUACCAGGCCGUUGAUGGAUCCACGCCAUGGGCCGCAGGCAGGCAAGUCUGGGUACCCCCGUUCCCAGAACACCGACAAUAGCCCCGGGCCCAAGGUGCGCUUGAACUUGGCUUCGAGGUGAGGCCAAAGGGCAAGUGCGGAGCGCCGCGGGCCCUAACCGCCUAUGGCAUUGGUUGACGCGUGGUGUUUGAUGGGACGUGGGCACCUCCGCUUCCCCAUGCUGUGAUGUCGCUUGAAGCUACAUCGGUAUUUCCCCAAAGAGGAAGGGAUGAUGCAGCACAACGGCGGUAGGUAUUUCCCUCAGAUAUGAAACCAAGGUUAUUGAACCAGUAGGAGAACCAAGCAACACAAUGUAAACAACCCCUGCACACAGAUAACAAAUCCUCACAACCCGACGUGUUAAAGGGGUUGUGAAUCCCUUUCGGGUAACGGUGCCAGAAAUUGGUGCUUGACGGGAAAAAGUUGUAAUAGAUUGAAUAACUAGAUUGCAAAUAAAAUAAAGUGUUGCAAAGUAUUUUUGGGUUUUUGGAUUAAUAGAUCUAAGAAUAAAAGAAAAUAAAAGUAGACCGCAAAUGCAAAUAAUAUGAGAAAAAGACACGGGGGCGUAGGUUUUACUAGUGGCUUCUCUCGAGAAAAAUAGCAAACUGUGGGUGAACAAAUUACUGUUGGGCAAUUAAUAGAACUUCAAAUACUCAUGACGCUAUCCAAGAAAUGAUCAUUACAUAGGCAUCACAUCCAAUAUUAGUAGACCGACUCCUGCCUGCAUCUACUACUAUUACUCGACACAUCGACCGCUAUCCAGCAUGCAUCUAGUGUAUUAAGUUCAUGGAGAAAUGGAGUAAUGCAAUAAGAACGAUGACAUGAUGUAGACAAGAUCUAUCUAUGUAGAGAUAGACCCCAUCAUUUUAUCCUUAGUAGCAACGAUACAUACGUGUCGGUUCCCCUUCUGUCACUGGGAUCAAGCACUGUAAGAUUGAACCCACUACAAAGCACCUCUUCCCAUUGCAAGAUAAAUAGAUUAAGUUGGCCAAAAAAAAACCAAAUAUCGGAGAAGAAAUACGAGGCUAUAAGCAAUCAUGCAUAAAAUAUAUCAAAGAAACUCAAAUACUUUCAUGGAUAUAAAAAGAUAGAUCUGAUCAUAAACUGAAAGUUCAUCGAUCCCAACAAACACACCGCAAAAGAGUUACAUCAUAUGGAUCUCCAAGAGACCAUUGUAUUGAGAACCAAGAGAGAGAGAGAGAUGAAGCCAUCUAGAUACUAACUACGGACCCAAAGGUCUACAAAGAACUAGUCAUGCAUCAUCAGAGAGGCACCAAUGGAGGUGGUGAACCCCAUCCGAGAUGUUGUCUAGAUUGGAUCUGGCGGUUCUGGACUCUACGGCGACUAGAUGAAUAUUUCGUUGAAUCCCCUAGGGUUUUGGGAAUAUUUGGGUAUUUAUAGAGCAAAGAGGCAGUCCGGGGGGCACCCGAGGUGGGCACAACCCACCAGGGCGUGCUUGGGCCUCCCGACGCGCCCUGGUGGGUUGUGCCCCCUCGGGGCACCCCCAAGCGCAGCCAGGGCCCGUUGUGUUUCUUUUGGCCCAUAAAAAAUUCUCCGUAGAGUUUCAUGGCAUUUGGACUCCGUUUGAUAUUGAUUUUCUGCGACUAAAAAACAUGGGGAAAACAGUAACUGGCACUUGGCACUAUGUCAAUAGGUUAGUACCAAAAAAUGAUAUAAAAUGAUUAUAAAACAUCCAAGAUUGAUAAUAUAACAACAUUGAACAAUGAAAAAUUAUAUAUACGUUGGAGACGUAUCAGUAUCCCCAAGCUUAACUCCUACUCGUCCUUGAGUAGGGAAGUGAUAAAAACAAAUUUUUUGAUGUGGAAUGAUGUCUAACAUGUCAUAUCAUAUUCUUUUCUUUAUAGCAUGGACAUUUGGACUUUUAUAUUGUUCAAAGCAAUAGUCUAGUUUUGACAUGAUAAUUUAAAUACUCAAGCAUAUCAACAAGCAAACAUAUCUUUCAAAAUAUUGACGCUAAAAUAAGCUAUCCCUAGCCCAUCAUGCUCAACCAAUGAUCCAUUCAUGAAACACACUCGCAUAUUAGCUACAUCCAAUACUCAAGUACGAUCAUAUUGCCUCCUAGUUGGUGCUUUGAUAAGAUAAGAUGGAGACUCAAAUUCAAUAUAAAAAUUGCAUAAAGUAAAAGAAAGGCCCUUCACAGAGGGAAGAGCGGAUUUGUAGAGGUACCAGAGCUCAAAGCGAAAAACUUAGAGAUAAAAACAUUUUGGGAGGUGUAUCACUGGUACGCGUCGGUCAUAUACAAAUGGUUUUUAACCCCUUUCCACGACAGCAUUUGGAACCGUCGCCAAGUGAGUGUGGGUGAUAGGGGGGUCCUUCCCACACGACCUAGAAAACUGUCGGGGGAUAUGCCCUCCUGGCACACACGCUCGGCAAAAUGAGGCCGUGUGCGACCAACGAGUGCUCACAUACGGAAAUACGUACAGUAGAGCUAAAAAAUACAAUUAUGCAGCAAAAUUGUUUCCGGUCGCAAGUACAACCCACACAGUCAGUCCCCGCUAAACAUUUCCGUUCGUAUGUACAUCCCACAUAGUCGCUUCAAGGAAAACUUUUCCGUUCACAGGUACAUCACACACAAUUUUCCCGUUAAAUCGUUUGCGUUAUUGUAUGUAUGACACAUGGUCCGUAGAAGAAACUUUGUGGCAAAGGCUGUCCAUCACACACAGUUUUUAUGUGGUAAACAUUUGCAAAAGGUUGUCUAACGCAAACAGUUUUCAAGAGAAAGUCGUGUGUGAUUGUUUAUUGAUCCAACACGGUUUAUUCCUAGAAUCUGUGUGCGUUGCCUGAGGUCAUCGCCCACGGUAUUUUUUCAACAACCGUUUGCAACAGCAAAACCCAAUUAGCAGGCUAAUUCGCCAUUAGCAGGCUAAUUGCCCUAUUAUUAAUAAUCCAUUUAUUAAUCUAAUUGACAUUCAUAUUAAGCACAUAAUAUAUUUCGUUUCAAUAUUAAGGAAGCAGAAUUUCAUAAUUGAAAUACAUUAGAGUACAACAUGAUAUAGCUUCAACACUCAGCAACCCCAUUACACAACUGCACCAGCACCAAGUUUCACAUGCAACAUGUAGAACCUUUCAAAAUUAGCAUCAUAGACGAUAUAUAGACAGAUGCAUCUCAUCUGGAAAACUGCUGAAGCGGAAGGCGAAUAUUGAGCCUUCAUUCAUGUUGAAGGUCUUUGCAACUUUAGGCCAGUGCCUGUGGAUGAUUGACCGUUCGUCGUUUGUCCUCUUCAGGAACACUUCAAUAUUGAACCGUGGGUGUUGUAUGAAAACCUUCCUCACCUCCUGACCAUAGAGGUGGGUUGAGAGGUAAUCAUCAGAGAACUGCUUUGGAAAGGCCUGAAAACAAGAAUGUGCAUAAAUAUCUUCUCUAUAUUGGAAAUGGGGCAAAGGAAUUAAAAAAAGGCUAGGUAUAAUAGUUAGUACCAUCUUGUAGUGAACUAAUGUCUUCUUCAUUGUGCAGACAAAGGUCUUGUUGUUUUUUGUUGCUAAUUUCUUUAUCCUAAAAAUCUUUCUGAGUUUCUUGAUUUGAUUGAUAUUCAUGGACAACUCAUUUCCCCAUAUGCAAAAAGGGUCGAACAGUGGGUCAAAACCUCUGACAGCAGGACCUACAUGUGCAAGACCAAAUUGUUAAAAACCAAAAUAUUAGAAUGGUUCCUGCAACUGCACAAUAAUGUGCUAUUAGACAACGGACCAUGCACGUGCUAACCUCGAUUGUGAACCUCAGUGCUUCCCAUUGUUUCCCUGCAACACAUAUAAGGUAGUUAGUCAUCAGGUUAAGUAUUUACUAUAGCCAAAUUCAAUUUAUUCCUCACAUGGUAUAUAAUAACAUAAUGCACCCACAACUAUUGAACAUCGCAUUGCAGAAUUGAACCAAAUAGUUAACUAAACACCACAACACAAAUGAACCAAACGUUAACUGAGCACCACAUUGCACAAUGUAUAACCAAACCAAGCAUGCUCGACAACUUGGAAAUAUAGAAAUUGUAUUCGUUUCUCAUGUAUUUUGUAAAGAUAAAUUUGAUUUAUUUCUCACAUGGAAGACAAUACAAAAUUGCAGCCUAAAGAAUUGAACAUCACAUUUGCAUAAUUAAACCGAACAGCUAACUGAAGACGACAACUAAUUAACAAAACAGUUAAUAAGUGAGCACCACACUGCACGGCAUAUAGAACAUAUACACUAGAGCAACAGAUUGCAUGAUAAAAUUAGAUAGCAGAAUUCACUAGAAUUUGUGAAGGAAAGGUAGGAGCAGCACACGCAACGGGUAAACCGAGCAUGCUUAACCGGCAUAGGUAGCAAAUGGUAAGGUGCUCCUCCAAGAUCUAGGGAUCAGUACGAAUGGCAGUCCUUGCGACCUCAUCCGCGCUUGCGGCCGCGAUUUGCUUCUCCGCUGCCAAAUGCUCCUUGAGAUCCUGGCUAUACUGCAUGCACCAUGGCUUAGGGCCACGCUUAUUUGGUGGAGGGGUCGGUGAUUUGGGUGGAACAGGUCGUGCUCGUGCCGACGGUCGGGGCAUGUGGGAUGUGGAAGGAGGAGGAGGAUGGGGGUCGGGUGUGGAUUACCUGCCUGGAUAGAUGAGGCCGAGCAGCGUGAAGGAGGGUCGCCGAUGAGGAGGCGGCACUACAAGCAAGGAGUGAAGGUUUCAACUUGGAAAGGAAGGCGAAAACAGGGGAAAUGUGGCUUUUGGUAAGGGGGAGGGGGAGGGGAGGUAGAUAUUUCCAUGGAAGCCGAAAAUUUGGAAUCACUUCAGUGAAAAAACUGGCGCGCAAGGUGUCAUGAGAAACGGUCUAUUGGGGAUAUAACUAUUGGGUAUGACCCGCCCAGGAGGGGCCGAGUUAUACCAACGAUGGUUCAUCAAGACAAAGCUCAUGAAGAUGUGGAGAUGGCGGUUCAUGAAGCAGACUUGCUAAGGGCCCGAAGCCCAAAGGCGACUUAAGGCCCAUAGGUGUAAACCGCCAUAUAUGUAUGACUUGGAUUGUAAGGCAAGUAUAAUUAGUCACCGAGCCGGACACAUUGAUGAUGAGCCGGCCCGGACCCUGUGAGUCGCCGGGCGUCAACCCGUGUAUAUAAAGGGACGACCCGGCGACGGCUUAGGACAAGAAACAAGAGAGACCCAAAGCUAGGUUAAGCAUAUUCGCUCCCUGGUAAUCGGAACCCAAGCAAUACUACCUCAACUGGAGUAAGCUUUUACCUUCAUAGCAAGGGGCCGAACCAGUAUAAACUCCUGUGUCCUUUGUCCCGUUUAACCCCUUCAAGCUAACCUAGUUGCGAUGGCUGCAUGACUAAGUCCUUCCACUAGGACGUCUACCGUGACAAUUCCACGACAGUUGGCGCCCACCGUGGGGCUGGCGCAUGGUGGUUUCGAGUUCUUGAAGGGCAGCUUCGAAGGGAUCAAGGGAUACGCUAUGGGCCGGAUGACUAAGAGUUGUCAUGGCAAGCUCUACAUCGACGAUGCAGGCUGGGGCCCCGAGGCCGGCUCAAUCGAGUACGAGUACCAGGUCCCCUUUAGCGGAAUCGACAUCUUCAUUGGCAGGGUUGGCGAACUGGGCCCUGAGCCGGACAUCUGCACCGACAUCAUCGAGACGGCUCAGCAUGCACGGUCCGCCCGGGUUCAACCCACCAUGAAGCGUGCCUUUGUUGAUUUUAUCCAUGGGGUAGAAAUUAAAGAUGGAUCUGUAUCUGGCAGUGAGACGGCCAUCUAUUCUGAUGGUGGAUCAUCCAUAGGUGAGACCAACUCAUUGUAUCAACUUCAAGACGGAUGGCUUGGGGGCUAUUCCGAUGGUGAAUGUAUUCCGGACCCCUGCGAGCCGCCGAACAGAGUUGCGGUUUUCAUCGCUGGUACACAACCGAUGCUUGGUUCAUCAACCGUUGCGGCCAUGAUCUCUAGCUCCAUGGCCUUAGCGGCGGCUGGUGCUGGUGGCCCUGCGCACCCGCCGACUCAAGUUCUCACUGAGUUGUUGGAGGCAUUAGCAACUUUGAUGGGGGUGGAGGUAACCCCGGACAACCAGGAUCAGCAUAAGGCAGAUGUGGCUAAGUUGCGGGAUGAGAUAGCUCAAUCCAAGGAGGACUUGGCAGCUAAGAACACCAGGAUGGCUGCAGAACAGGCCGUUUUGGACGCAUAGGCGCAGCGAAUCCAAGCCGACUCCUUCUGGCUCACGUUCGAUCAGAAUGCUUCAAAUGAGGUCAUGAGAAGGAGACACCGGAGUCUUCUACCCCCGGUUUAUGAGCCAAGAAUCCUCUUUAACAUGCCAGGAGUAGGGACCAGUGACCCGCCGGUGGUAAAUCGAACGACUGAAGCGCCUAGGGGUGGAGCGCCGGUUCAGCCUCGAGUGAUGGGCUCUCCACGUGUGAACAAUUCCCCGCCUCAACAUGUUCUGACGCCACCGAGUCAUUAUUCUAGCCCGUUGGACAAUAUGAUUGCUGCAGCAACACGAUUGGCGGCUCUGCCAGUUGAAGGCGAGUCUCCGACGGCGGUUGAAACUGUUGGGGAACGUAGUAAUUUCAAAAAAUUUCCUACGCACACGCAAGAUCAUGGUGAUGCAUAGCAACAAGAGGGGAGAGUGUUGUCUACGUACCCUCAUAGACCGUUUGCGGAAGCGUUAUAUCAAUGCGGUUGAUGUAGUCGUACGUCUUCACGUCCGGCCGAUCCAAGUACCGAAAGCACGGCACCUCCGAGUUUUGCACACGUUCGGCUCGGUGACGUCCUCGCCUUCUCGAUCCAGCAAGAGGGGCGAAGUAGUAGAUGAGUUCCCGCAGCACGACGGCGUGGUGACGGUGUUGGUGAAGAACAAUCUCCGCAGGGCUUCGCCUAAGCACUACGAAAACUAUGACAGAGGAUAAACUAGAGGAGACGGGGUUGCCAGCACACGGCUUGGUGUUUCUUGAUGUGUCCUUUGUGGUAGCCCUGCCCCUCUAUUUAUAUGUUGAGCCCUGGGGUCGAAACUUGGAGUAAAAGCCUCCACAAAGUCGGUUUCACCCGAAAGGCAAGAGUCCUUCUCGGACUCCAGGGCCAGACGCCAGGGUUCCCGGCGUCUGGACCCAGACGCCAGGGACCCUGGCGUCUGGCCCCUGGACUCCGCAAAACUUCCUUUUGCGCUUUCCAAAAACCUUGUGGGCUUUCCCCUUUGUCCCAAAUAAAGUGUUCUCGUACCCAAACAUUUCGGGAAACAUCCGGAACCCCUUCCGGUGAUUUCCGGAACCCUUCCGGUGACCAAACAAUAUUAUCACAUAUAUCAAACUUUAUCUCCGGACCAUUCCGGAGUUCCUUGUCAUGUCUGUGAUUUCAUCCUGGACUCCGAACAACAUUCGGUCACCAACAUACAUAACUCACAUAGUACUAUAUCAUCAACGAACGUUAAGCGUGCGGACCCUACGGGUUCGAGAACUAUGUAGACAUGACCGAGACACCUCUCUGAUCAAUAACCAAUAGCGGCACCUGGAUGCCCAUAUUGGCUCCUACAUAUUCUACGAAGAUCUUUAUCGGUCAGACCGCAUAACAACAUACGUUGUUCCCUUUGUCAUCGGUAUGUUACUUGCCCGAGAUUCGAUCGUCGGUAUCCAAUACCUAGUUCAAUCUCGUUACCGGCAAGUCUCUUUACUCGUUCCGUAAUACAUCAUCUCACAACUAACAUAUUAGUUGUAAUGCUUGCAAGGCUUAUGUGAUGUGCAUUACCGAGAGGGCCCAGAGAUACCUCUCCGACAAUCGGAGUGACAAAUCCUAAUCUCGAAAUACCCCAACCCACAUCUACCUUUGGAGACACCUGUAAUGCUCCUUUAUAAUCACCCAGUUACAUUGUGACGUUUGGUAGCACCCGAAGUGUUCCUCCGGCAAACGGGAGUUGCAUAAUCUCAUAGUCAUAGGAACAUGUAUAAGUCAUGAAGAAAGCAAUAGCAACAUACUAAACGAUCGGGUGCUAAACUAAUGGAAUGGGUCAUGUCAAUCAGAUCAUUCAACUAAUGAUGUGAUCCCGUUAAUCAAAUAACAACUCCUUUGUCUAUGGUUAGGAAACAUAACCAUCUUUGAUUAACGAGCUAGUCAAGUAGAGGCAUACUAGUGACACUCUGUUUGUCUAUGUAUUCACACAUGUAUUAUGUUUCCGGUUAAUACAAUUCUAGCAUGAAUAAUAAACAUUUAUCAUGAUAUAAGGAAAUAAAUAAUAACUUUAUUAUUGCCUCUAGGGCAUAUUUCCUUCAGUCUCCCACUUGCACUAGAGUCAAUAAUCUAGAUUACAUAGUAAUGAUUCUAACACCCAUGGAGUCUUGGUGCUGAUCAUGUUUUGCUCGUGGAAGAGGCUUAGUCAACGGGUCUGCAACAUUCAGAUCCGUAUGUAUCUUGCAAAUCUCUAUGUCUCCCACCUGGACUAGACCCCGGAUGGAAUUGAAGCGUCUCUUGAUGUGCUUGGUUCUCUUGUGAAAUCUGGAUUCCUUUGCCAAGGCAAUUGCACCAGUAUUGUCACAAAAGAUUUUCAUUGGACCCGAUGCACUAGGUAUGACACCUAGAUCGGAUAUGAACUCCUUCAUCCAGACUCCUUCAUUUGCUGCUUCUGAAGCAGCUAUGUACUCCGCUUCACAUGUAGAUCCCGCUACGACGCUUUGUUUAGAACUGCACCAACUGACAGCUCCACCGUUUAAUGUAAACACGUAUCCGGUUUGCGAUUUAGAAUCGUCCGGAUCAGUGUCAAAGCUUGCAUCAACGUAACCGUUUACGAUGAGUUCUUUGUCACCUCCAUAUACGAGAAACAUAUCCUUAGUCCUUUUCAGGUACUUCAGGAUGUUCUUGACCGUUGUCCAGUGAUCCACUCCUGGAUUACUUUGGUACCUCCCUGCUAAGCUUAUAGCAAGGCACACAUCAGGUCUGGUACACAGCAUAGCAUACAUGAUAGAGCCUAUGGCUGAAGCAUAGGGAACAUCUUUCAUUUUCUCUCUAUCUUCUGCAGUGGUCGGGCUUUGAGUCUUACUCAAUUUCAAAACUUUGUCAAGGUAUGUGCUUUGUGAAAGUCCAAUUAGGCGUCUUGAUAUAUAUCUAUAGAUCUUAAUGCCUAAUAUGUAAGCAGCUUCACCGAGGUCUUUCAUUGAAAAACUCUUAUUCAAGUAUCCCUUUAUGCUAUCCAGAAAUUCUAUAUCAUUUCCAAUCAGUAAUAUGUCAUCCACAUAUAAUAUCAGAAAUGCUACAGAGCUCCCACUCACUUUCUUGUAAAUACAGGCUUCUCCAAAAGUCUGUAUAAAACCAAAUGCUUUGAUCACACUAUCAAAGCGUUUAUUCCAACUCCGAGAGGCUUGCACUAGUCCAUAAAUGGAUCGCUGGAGCUUGCACACUUUGUUAGCUCCCUUUGGAUCGACAAAACCUUCUGGUUGCAUCAUAUACAACUCUUCUUCUAGAAAUCCAUUCAGGAAUGCAGUUUUGACAUCCAUCUGCCAAAUUUCAUAAUCAUAAAAUGCGGCAAUUGCUAACAUGAUUCGGACAGACUUAAGCAUCGCUACGGGUGAGAAAGUCUCAUCAUAGUCAACCCCUUGAACUUGUCGAAAACCUUUUGCGACAAGUCGAGCUUUGUAGACAGUAAUAUUACCACCAGCGUCAGUCUUCUUCUUGAAGAUCCAUUUAUUCUCAAUUGCUUACCGAUCAGUGGGCAAGUCAACCAAAGUCCAUACUUUGUUCUCAUACAUGGAUCCCAUCUCAGAUUUCAUGGCUUCAAGCCAUUUUGCGGAAUCUGGGCUCACCAUCGCUUCUUCAUAGUUCGUAGGUUCAUCAUGAUCUAGUAGCAUGACUUCCAGAACAGGAUUACCGUACCACUUUGGCACGGAUCUCACUCUGGUUGAUCUACGAGGUUCAAUAGUAUCUUGAUCUAAAGUUUCAUGAUCAUCAUCAUUAGCUUCCUCACUAACUGGUGUAGGUGUCACUGAAACAGUUUUCUGUGAUGUACUACUUUCCAAUAAGGGAGCAGGUACAGUUACCUCGUCAAGUUCUACUUUCCUCCCACUCACUUCUUUCGAGAGAAACUCCUUCUCUAGAAAGGAUCCAUUCUUAGCAACGAAUGUCUUGCCUUCGGAUCUGUGAUAGAAGGUGUACCCAACAGUCUCCUUUGGGUAUCCUAUGAAGACACAUUUCUCCGAUUUGGGUUCGAGCUUAUCAGGUUGAAGCUUUUUCACGUAAGCAUCGCAGCCCCAAACUUUAAGGAACGACAACUUUGGUUUCUUGCCAAACCAUAGUUCAUAAGGCGUCGUCUCAACGGAUUUUGAUGGUGCCCUAUUUAAUGUGAAUGCGGCCGUCUCUAGAGCAUAACCCCAAAACGAUAGUGGUAAAUCUGUAAGAGACAUCAUAGAUCGCACCAUAUCUAAUAAAGUACGAUUACGACGUUUGGACACACCAUUACACUGUGGUGUUCCGGGUGGCGUGAGUUGCGAAACUAUUCCACAAUUUUUCAAAUGUACACCAAACUCGUAACUCAAAUAUUCUCCUCCACGAUCAGAUCGUAGAAACUUUAUUUUCUUGUUACGAUGAUUUUCAACUUCACUCUGAAAUUCUUUGAACUUUUCAAAUGUUUCAGACUAAUGUUUCAUUAAGUAGAUAUACCCAUAUCUGCUCAAAUCAUCCGUGAAGGUGAGAAAAUAACGAUAUCCGCCAUGAGCCUCAAUAUUCAUCGGACCACAUACAUCUGUAUGUAUGAUUUCCAACAAAUCUGUUGCUCUCUCCAUAGUACCGGAGAAUGGUGUUUUAGUCAUCUUGCCCAUGAGGCACGGUUCGCAAGUACCAAGUGAUUCAUAAUCAAGUGGUUCCAAAAGCCCAUCAGUAUGGAGUUUCUUCAUGCGCUUUACACUGAUAUGACCUAAACGGCAGUGCCACAAAUAAGUUGCACUAUCAUUAUCAACUCUGCAUCUUUUGGCUUCAACAUUAUGAAUAUGUGUAUCACUACUAUCGAGAUUCAUCAAAAAUAGACCACUCUUCAAAGGUGCAUGACCAUAAAAGAUAUUACUCAUAUAAAUAGAACAACCGUUAUUCUCUGAUUUAAAUGAAUAACCGUCUCGCAUCAAACAAGAUCCAGAUAUAAUGUUCAUGCUCAACGCAGGCACCAAAUAACAAUUAUUUAGGUCUAAUACUAAUCCCGAAGGUAGAUGUAGAGGUAGCGUGCCGACCGCGAUCACAUCGACUUUGGAACCAUUUCCCACGCACAUCGUCACCUCGUCCUUUGCCAGUGUUCGCUUCCGUAGUCCCUGUUUCGAGUUGCAAAUAUUAGCAACAGAACCAGUAUCAAAUACCCAGGUGCUACUGCGAGCUCUAGUAAGGUACACAUCAAUAACAUGUAUAUCACAUAUACCUUUGUUCACCUUGCCAUCCUUCUUAUCCACCAAAUACUUGGGGCAGUUCCGCUUCCAGAGACCAGUCUGCUUGCAGUAAAAGCACUCAGUUUCAGGCUUAGGUCCAGACUUGGGUUUCUUCUCUUGAGCAGCAACUUGCUUGCUGUUCUUCUUAAAGUUCCCCUUCUUCUUCCCUUUGCCCUUCUUGAAACUAGUGGUCUUGUUGACCAUCAACACUUGAUGCUCCUUCUUGAUUUCUACCUCCGCAGCUUUCAGCAUUGCGAAGAGCUCAGGAAUAGUCUUGUUCAUCCCUUGCAUAUUAUAGUUCAUCACGAAGCUCUUGUAGCUUGGUGGCAGUGAUUGGAGAAUUCUGUCAAUGACGCAAUCAUCUGGAAGAUAAACUCCCAAUUGAAUCAAGUGAUUAUUAUACCUAGACAUUUUGAGUAUAUGCUCACUGACAGAACUGUUCUCCUCCAUCUUGCAGCUAUAGAACUUAUUGGAGACUUCAUAUCUCUCAAUCCGGGCAUUUGCUUGAAAUAUUAACUUCAACUCCUGAAACAUCUCAUAUGCUCCAUGACGUUCAAAACGUCGUUGACGUCCCGAUUCUAAGCCGUAAAGCAUGGCACACUGAACUAUCGAGUAGUCAUGAGCUUUGCUCUGCCAGACGUUCAUAACAUCUGGUGUUGCUCCAGCAGCAGGCCUGGCACCCAGCGGUGCUUCCAGGACGUAAUUCUUCUGUGCAGCAAUGAGGAUAAUCCUCAAGUUAUGGACCCAGUCCGUGUAAUUGCUACCAUCAUCUUUCAACUUUGCUUUCUCAAGGAACGCAUUAAAAUUCAACGGAACAACAGCACGAUCCAUUUAUCUACAAUCAACAUAAACAAGCAAGAUAGUAUCAGGGACUAAGUUCAUGAUAAAUUUAAGUUCAAUUAAUCAUAUUAGUUAAGAACUCCCACUUAGAUAGACAUCCCUCUAAUCUUCUAAGUGAUCACGUGAUCCAAAUCAACUAAACCAUAACCGAUCAUCACGUGAGAUGGAUUAGUCUUCAAUGGUGAACAUUAUUAUGUUGAUCAUAUCUACUAUAUGAUUCACGCUCGACCUUUCGGUCUCCGUGUUCCGAGGCCAUAUCUGCAUAUGCUAGGCUCGUCAAGUAUAACCCGAGUAUUCUGCGUGUGCAAAACUAGCUUGCACCCGUUGUAGAUGGACGUAGAGCUUAUCACACCCGAUCAUCACGUGGUGUCUGGGCACGACAAACUUUGGCAAAGGUGCAUACUCAGGGAGAACACUUCUUGAUAAUUUAGUGAGAGAUCAUCUUAUAAUGCUACCGUCAAUCAAAGCAAGAUAAGAUGCAUAAAAGAUAAACAUCACAUGCAAUCAAUAUAAGUGAUAUGAUAUGGCCAUCAUCAUCUUGUGCCUGUGAUCUCCAUCUCCGAAGCACCGUCAUGAUCACCAUCGUCACCGGCGCGACACCUUGAUCUCCAUCAUAGCAUCGUUGUCGUCUCACCAAUCUUAUGCUUCCACGACUAUCACUACCGCUUAGUAAUAAAGUAAAGCAUUACAUCGCGAUUGCAUUGCAUACAAUAAAGCGACAACCAUAUGGCUCCUGCUAGUUGCCGAUAACUCGGUUACAAAACAUGAUCAUCUCAUACAAUAAAAUUUAGCAUCAUGUCUUGACCAUAUCACAUCACAACAUGCCCUGCAAAAACAAGUUAGACGUCCUCUACUUUGUUGUUGCAAGUUUUACGUGGCUGCUACGGGCUUAAGCAAGAACCAAUCUCACCUACGCAUCAAAACCACAACGAUAGUUUGUCAAUUUGACUCCGUUUUAACCUUCGCAAGGACCGGGCGUAGCCACACUUGGUUCAACUAAAGUUGGAGAGACUGUCGCCCACAAGCCACCUAUGUGCAAAGCACGUCGGGGGAACCGGUCUCGCGUAAGCGUACGCGUAAUGUUGGUCCGGGUCGUCUCAUCCAACAAUACCGCCGAACCAAAGUAUGACAUGCUGGUAGGCAGUAUGACUUAUAUCGCCCACAACUCACUUGUGUUCUACUCGUGCAAAUAACAUCAAACCAUAAAACCUAGGCUCGGAUGCCACUGUUGGGGAACGUAGUAAUUUCAAAAAAUUUCCUACGCGCACGCCAGAUCAUGGUGAUGCAUAGCAACGAGAGGGGAGAGUGUUGUCUACGUACCCUCGUAGACCGUUCGCGGAAGCGUUAUAUCAAUGCGGUAGAUGUAGUCAUACGUCUUCACGUCCGACCGAUCCAAGUACCGAAAGCACGACACCUCCGAGUUCUGCACACGUUCGGCUCGGUGACGUCCUCGCCUUCUCGAUCCAGCAAGAGGGGCGAAGUAGUAGAUGAGUUCCGGCAGCACGACGGCAUGGUGACGGUGUUGGUGAAGAACAAUCUCCGCAGGGCUUCGCCUAAGCACUACGAAAACUAUGACAGAGGAUAAACUAGAGGAGACGGGGUUGCCGGCACACGACUUGGUGUUUCUUGAUGUGUCCUUUGUGCUAGACCUGCCCCUCUAUUUAUAUGUUGAGCCCUGGGGUCGAAACUUGGAGUAAAAGCCUCCACAAAGUCGGUUUCACCCGAAAGGCAAGAGUCCUUCCCGGACUCCAGGGCCAGACGCCAGGGUUCCUGGCGUCUGGACCCAGACGCCAGGGACCCUGGCGUCUGGCCCCUGGACUCCGCAAAACUUCCUUUUGCGCUUUCCAAAAACCUUGUGGGCUUUCCCCUUUGGCCCAAAUAAAGUGUUCUCGUACCCAAACAUUUCAGGAAACAUCCGGAACCCCUUCCGGUGAUUUCCGGAACCCUUCCGGUGACCAAACACUAUUAUCACAUAUAUCAAACUUUAUCUCCAGACCAUUCCGGAGUUCCUCGUCAUGUCCGUGAUUUCAUCCCAGACUCCGAACAACAUUCGGUCACCAACAUACAUAACUCACAUAGUACUAUAUCAUCAACGAACGUUAAGCGUGCGGACCCUACGGGUUCGAGAACUAUGUAGACAUGACCGAGACACCUCUCUGGUCAAUAACCAAUAGCGGGACCUGGAUGCCCAUAUUGGCUCCUACAUAUUCUACGAAGAUCUUUAUCGGUCAGACCGCAUAACAACAUACGUUGUUCCCUUUGUCAUCGGUAUGUUACUUGCCCGAGAUUCGAUCGUCGGUAUCCAAUACCUAGUUCAAUCUCGUUACCGGCAAGUCUCUUUACUCGUUCCGUAAUACAUCAUCUCACAACUAACAUAUUAGUUGUAAUGCUUGCAAGGCUUAUGUGAUGUGCAUUACCGAGAGGGCCCAGAGAUACCUCUUCGACAAUCGGAGUGACAAAUCCUAAUCUCGAAAUACGCCAACCCAACAUCUACCUUUGGAGACACCUGUAAUGCUCCUUUAUAAUCACCCAGUUACGUUGUGACGUUUGGUAGCACCCAAAGUGUUCCUCCGGCAAACGGGAGUUGCAUAAUCUCAUAGUCAUAGGAACAUGUAUAAGUCAUGAAGAAAGCAAUAGCAACAUACUAAACGAUCGGGUGCUAAGCUAAUGGAAUGGGUCAUGUCAAUCAGAUCAUUCAACUAAUGAUGUGAUCCCGUUAAUCAAAUAACAACUCCUUUGUCUAUGGUUAGGAAACAUAACCAUCUUUGAUUAAUGAGCUAGUCAAGUAGAGGCAUACUAGUGACACUCUGUUUGUCUAUGUAUUCACACAUGUAUUAUGUUUCCGGCUAAUACAAUUCUAGCAUGAAUAAUUGUAACAUCCCAAAUUUUCAAUUUGGAAUGUUAUACAUUAGAUCAUCAUGCAUAUCGUAUUUUCUUGCAUUUUGGUCGAUCCUAGAAAUUUCACGCAACUCAAGGACCUUCGGAGAGAGUUGGAGAUUUCGUUAUUUUCAUAUUUGAGAGUUUUCUCGAAUUGAAAAGAGGAUCAUUUGAUUUAUUUAUUUCAUCUUCAAUAAUUUUUCCGAUAUCAAAAAUAUAAGAGAGGGAAUAAUAUGACUUUCCCAAAAUUGAGGAAAAAUGAAGAUUUAAUAAAUAGAUCAAAUUUUGUUUGCCGGAGUUUAUUUGCAUUUUAUUUGGAUAGGGAAAAAUGCGCGUUUUCAAAAAUUGCAUUUUAGGCCCGGAGAAAAGUUCAUUUUGUUCGGCUCAUUUUUAGGAGUCGGGGAAAAUUUACUUUAGAAUUUUUGGAGUUCGUUUAGUUCUCUUUUUGUUUUUUUUUCUGCGCGCUGAACCAGUUAAAAAAAAGGAGCCAGGCCAGCCGGGCCAAGGCCCAGGCCAGCCGCCGCCCCAGCUCCCUGUGCGCUAAGCGCCAGGAGCCUCGCUCGCCGAGUCCCAGCGGGACUCCAGGAGCCGGCCGUCCCUCCCUUUGGACUCUGGCCGGUUAGCCCGUUGCCUCUUUUCUUUGUUUCAUUUUCCUAUUCCUAGUCUAUUUCUUGUCCCCUACCCCAACAAACCCCCCCUCACCUAUAUAAAUACCCCCACACCCCCCUCUCCUCACACCAAAAAAACCCCAAACCCCCCCUCUCCUCCCCAAGCCGCGCACCACCCCGCGCCUNNNNNNNNNNNNNNNNNNNNNNNNNNNNNNNNNNNNNNNNNNNNNNNNNNNNNNNNNNNNNNNNNNNNNNNNNNNNNNNNNNNNNNNNNNNNNNNNNNNNNNNNNNNNNNNNNNNNNNNNNNNNNNNNNNNNNNGCCCCUCACCACCGCCGCCGCCAUAGCCGCCUCCCCUCACCCACGCCGCCGCCCUUGUGCAUCGCCGCCGCCGCCCAACGCCGCCGUUUGUGGGAGCCCCUCGCCAGAACCUCGCCGGAGGUAGCCCCGCGCCUCUCUUUUUCUUCCCCGCGGUUCGUUUCUUUUAAAAGAAACCGUUCCGGUUUUCUUUUCCGGUUUUUCUCUCCGAUUCUUCGUUUCGGUUUCUUUUCCGAAAACCCUAGAUCGGUUUUCCGUUUUCUUUUUCGGUUUCUUUUUCGGUUUCUUUUCCGAAAACCCUAGAUCGGUUUUCGUUCUUCUUUCGGACCGUUCAUCUCAGUGAUCACCGAUUAUUCCCGAUUAACGACGCCCGUUCGUUUAACCAUUCGUCUCUUUCUUUUCGUCGGAUUUAUUCCGCGAUCGCGAUCUCAGAUCUGAUCUUCGUUCUAGUUUAUCUUCUCACCCGUUUAUCGGAAUCAGGUGAUUCAAGCGCCUGGAGUUUCGUCUCGAAACCGCCGUUCCGUCUAAUCAACUUGAACAAGUUUUUGCUAUGGUAAAAUUUGACCUAGUUUCAACUUGCUAGAACCGAGUUGUUUUCUUCCGUCGUUUGUUUUCCGUCGUUUGUUCGGUUCGUUCUUUCUUUGCAACCGGAGUUCUUAAGUUGAACUUUCUGGUUCGUCCUCUCGUUCGAGUUUUACUUGUGCAUUAGAUGAGUACUUAUUGUGUGGUUACUAUUGUUUGCUUAUGAUAGAUUGACCGAAGUGUGACGAGUAGAUCUAUCAAGAGUUUUAAGUACGAAUCAACUUCAUCUACAUUGCAGGCAAGUUCACACUUUGAUCAUACCUUUUCUACAACCCAGUUUUAUUGCAUUAGAUCAAUCCUCUCACCUUGCAUGAUUAGGAUCUAAUUAAACUGUGGGAUGGGAAGUAGAUGAGGUAGUACCUAUCUCCUGUAUUAUUAUGAAACCUUUGGGAGUUACUUCUACGUUUGCUUAUUAUGCCAUGCUAUGCUAGUAGACGUGGAUUGGGUGAGUGAUAUCCAUGACAGAUGUGAGUUGAUAAUUUUAAUGGUUUAUCUAAGGUGGCAACUUAAACACACAUCUGGGUGGAUUGAGGCACCUGAUGUCUAUCAGGACUUGCCUGUUUUUUUUGGACUGCCACCCAGGCUCAAAGGGAUCAUAAGAUCUUUCAUGCUAGAAACUUCCAUGUGCAGCCACAAGCCAUUUGGGCUCUGGCAUAGUUGACUAAGUCGUGCAAACUCUUACGGGUAGACUAGCAGAUGUAGGGGAAAGUAGGUGUACCGGUCUACCCACACGUAAGGUGCUAGCGCUUCUGAAAGACUGUGUCUCGGUCAUCCGUUUCUCAAACACCAUGUAGUGCGAGAAAACAAACGGAGGCGAUCGGGUCUUGUGGGGAAAAGUGUGCAAACCUCUGCAGAGUGUACAAACUAAUCAUGAUUAGCCGUGUCCCCGGUUAUGGACAACUUGAGUAUCUAGUACUUGAAUAUCAUGUGAAUCUCAACAUGUUACUUCUAACUAAUGUUGUUGGGUUUUAAUUAUUUUUAAUUGGGAUUGAGAAUGCUGUCAACCAUUCUCAAUGUUUCACAACCACCAUGAUAGUUAAAUAAAUUUAUUCGUUUGCAGUAGGGAAAAAUUGGCUUUACGCAAAACUAUAACCAUAGAGCUUUUCCACCAGCCAAAUAUGCAUGUAGUGAUAGCCAUUGUUCAUCAUUCUCUAUGGUGUCAAUUUGCCAGUACAUUCAAUGUACUGACCCGUUUUCGGGCUGCAACGUCUCAUGUUGCAGGUUUCUUACAUCGAGUAAGUGAUACGUUAGGGUUACGAUUUCUACACUCAACUUUGCCGUUGGUGUUGAUGGGAACCCACAACCUUGUUGCUUCCGCUAUAUGGAUUGAGGUAAUAGUAUUUACGUUACUUUAUACAUGUGAUUUACCUCUGUUAUAAAUCCUUCGAGUACUGUGUGUGUCAGCAUAUCGAUCCAGGGAUGACACUUAAGCACAGAGACUUGACCCAUUCGGGUCGGGUCGCUACAAUAAUAAACAUUUAUCAUGAUAUAAGGAACUUUAUUAUUGCCUCUAGGGCAUAUUUCCUUCAGAAACAUGCAGGGCUAGAGAACUUCUUCAGACAGCAUUGGAGAAGCAAGCGGCUUAUUCUUAUAAUCGUGAGUGGCUUUACUCAACCCCUCGUCCAAGCCGGAGUUACAGCAGGCACAUUGACUCACGAGCGGUUUCAAGUGCUGAAAAACGCCGUAACCGGCCCCGUGGACAUGACCCGGCGCGCGAUGAUGCUGAUGCCCUGGCUCUGGUGGAUCAGAGCAGGGCGCGUCGGGAGGCCGAGCUGGUGGCUCAGCAAGCGGCUCACCGACAGUCUCCGGUUUACCCAACAACUUCAGUGGAAACAGGUGUGGCCUCUAAGACCUUGGGUGUGCCUUGUUUAGUGUCGGCUCUGUGUAACGAGCGUUUGCCCAAGGACUUCAAGGGUCCUCACAAGGUGCCUAAUUACACAGCAGAUCAACCUCCUGAAGCUUGGGUUGAAAGUUAUGAGAUGGCCAUGGAGAUGCUGGAUGUUAGUGAGGCUGCGUGUGCUAAGUAUUUCACCAUGAUGUUAGAACGUCCGGCUCGUACUUGGUUGAAGGGACUGCCCGCCAAUUCUAUCAGGUCAUGGGUGGAGUUGAAGGCCCAGUUUCUUCAAAACUUUAAGGAUACGUGCAAGCAGCCUAUGUCGGUCGUGGAUUUGGUGUCUUGUGUCCAAGGUGAAGGAAAGUCAAAAACCAAUUGGGUGCGCUGGGUCUCAACCAUCAUACACUCGUCAGAUAAUAUCAACAUCGGCUCAGCAGUUUUAAUGUUGGAGAAAAAUUGCCAUUUCCUCCCUCUUAAGCAGAAGCUUGGGCGACUUAAGCACCAUUGCAGUGACAUGGGGGAGCUCAUGGCAGCCCUUGUCAAGUAUGCCGACUCUGAUAGUACCAAGGACCCCGAGUCUCAUGACGAAAAGACGGGCAAGGGAAAUAAGAGUAGCAGCAUGAAGGGACAACAGUAUAACCCGACCAGUCAGGGUGGGAACGGUAAGCGCAGAGCUGAUGGAAAUUUAUACUCCAUGGCCAACACAGGUGGAUGGAAUAAUUACCAGCGUCGCAAGGGAAGGCCGGCUCAGCCUGGGGGGGAGAACUCGACCUCGAGGCAGUAAUGAAUCAGCCAUGUCCGAGGCAUGGAACAUAGGAGAGGCCAUCUAAACAUCUGUGGAAGGAUUGUUUUAUCAUGAAGGAGUUCAAGAAAUCCCAUCUUUUCUAGAAUAACCAUGGCCUGAAUGGUGGCUCGGGAUCCGGUUCUCAUGGUCUAGGUCAUGGAGGUGGCGGUUCAAAUUCUGGUUUUCAAGGCCAAGGCAAUCAGGGUGGUUACAACCAACCGAAUAAUCAGGGAAUCAACAGCAAUCUGGUUAUCAAAGUAACCCGAAGCAAUUGAAUAGUGGGCAGUACCACGUUUUCACCACGAGUUUAUGUAAGCGGGAUCAGAAGCUCCAUGAAAGGGCAGUGAACACCGUGGAGCUGGCGGUGCCCCGUUACUUGCGAUGGUCUGAACACCCUAUUCUCCGGAGCCGUGAGGAUCACUCGCCCCAGGUUGAUAAUCCGGGUCAUUUGGCGCUAGUGGUGGCACCGUAGGUUGGAGGAUACAAGUUCACUAAAGUACUCAUGGAUGGAGGCGGCAACAUUAAUAUCCUUUAUUAUGAAACUUUUCGUUGCAUGGGAUUAACAGACAAAAUUUUUAAGCCAUCGAACAUUGUUUUUCACGGUGUGGUUCCUGGUAAGUAGGCAUAUCCAGUGGGUAAAAUAUCUUUGGAGGUUGCCUUUGGAGAUGAGUACAAUUCCAGAUCUAAGACGUUGACUUUUGAAGUGGUUAAUAUCAAAAGCCCUUAUCAUGCUCUGUUUGGGCGGCCGGCUUAUGCUAAAUUCAUGGCAAGGCCUUGUUAUAUUAAUUUACAUCUGAAGAUGCCGGGUCACAAGGGAACAAUCACAGUGCAUGGGAGUCGCAAGAUAGCCUUGGAGUGUGAAGAGGGUGAUGCAGCUUAUGCUGAGUCUGUCUGCGCCACGGAGGAGCUAAAAUUUUAUAAAGAUAAUGUUGACCCGGUAGAUAUGACAUCCUUGAAGAAGCCAACCACAUAGCAUGAUUCUUUAUUGAAGUUUAAGUUGGCAGAUGACACUAAGCUAGUUGACUUUGUUCCUGGCGACUCAUCUAAGCAGUUCAACAUCAGUGCUAAUCUAGAACCGAAAUAGGAAAGCGCGCUCAUCGAGUUCAUCCGUGAGAAUCUGGAAAUCUUUGCAUGGAAGCCUUCAGAUAUGCUAGGUGUCCCGAGGGAGCUCGCUGAGCACACUCUUAAUAUUGACCCAAAUUUUAAACCGGUCAAGAAAUUCCUUCGCCAUUUCAAUGAAGAGAGGCGUAAGGCUAUUGGUGAGGAGGUAGCCCGACUCUUGGCGGCUGGGUUCAUUGUCAAAGUUUUUCAUCCUGAGUGGUUGGCUAACCCGGUGCUGAUGCUUAAGAAAAACGGCACCUGGCGCAUGUGUGUGGAUUAUACGGACUUAAACAAGGCUUGUCCGACUGAUCCCUUUGCUCUCCCCCGUAUCGAUCAGAUUAUUGAUGCUACGGCGGGUUGUGAGCAUCUGAGUUUUUUGGAUGCUUAUUUUGGUUAUCAUCAGAUCAACAUGGCAGUUAAGGACCAGGAGAAGACAACCUUUAUUACUCCCUUUGGAGCCUUCUGUUAUGUAUCGAUGCCUUUUGGGCUCAAGAGUGCCCAGGCGACUUACCAACGGUGUGUUCAAAAUUGCCUCCAUGAUCAAAUUGGGCGCAAUGUUCACGCUUAUGUGGAUGAUAUUGUGGUGAAUUCCAGGAAGAAGGAGACCCUGAUAGAUGAUUUAAAGGAGACCUUUGACAAUCUCCGGGUCUAUAAGAUGAUGCUUAACCCGGCCGAGUGUGUUUUUGGUGUGCCAGCAGGCAAGCUUUUGGGUUUUUUGGUUUCGGAAUGAGGUAUUGAAGCUAACCCAGAGAAAAUAAAGGCUAUCACAUCCCUGGCUAAGCCGGCGUGUAUUAAUGAUGUUCAGCGUUUGGCGGGUUGUAUUGUAGCUUUAAGCCAGUUCAUAAGUCGGUUAGGUGAGAAGGCCAUCCCUCUUUAUCAGAUGAUGAAGAAGAUAGAUCAUUUUGUUUGGAGUGAUGUUGCUGAUCAGGCGUUUGAGGCCUUGAAGAAAUAGUUGGCUGAGCCGCUGGUUCUUGCUGCUCCCAUGGAUAAGGAGCCUUUAUUGUUAUAUGUGGCUACCAAUAGCCGAGCCGUCAGUGUAGCCAUUGUGGUGUAAAGGAAGGAAUCAUGCAAGGAGCAUCCGGUUCAGCGGCCAGUUUACUACAUCAGUGAGGUGCUUAUUGAGUCCAAGCAGAGGUAUCCACAUUGGCAGAAGCUUGUAUAUGGGGUGUUCAUGGCUAGCCAGAAGCUCUAGCAGUAUUUUCUGGGUCAUCCCAUCACUGUGGUUAGUUCUGCUCCCUUAGGGGAUAUUAUUCAAAACAGAGAAGCCACGGGUCGAGUAGCCAAGUGGGCCAUUGAACUUGGACCCCAUGGUUUAAAGUAUAUGCCUCGCACAACCUUCAAGUCUCAAGCACUUGUAGAUUUUAUCAAUAAUUGGACAGAGUUGCAGAUGCCUAAGGAGAAGCCGGAUAGCACAUACUGGACUAUUCACUUUGAUGGAUCUUGGCAGUUGGAGGGCUCGUGGGCUGGAGUUGUCUUGACUUCCCCAUGAGGUGAUAACUAUUCUUAUGUUUUCUGGUUGAUGUUCCCUUGUACUAACAAUGCAGCAGAGUAUGAGGCCUUGCUUCAUGGGCUUUGGAUGGCCAAAGAGAUGAACUUAAGCCGGGUGAGGUGUUUCGGUUACUCAGAUCUAGUGGCUCGGCAAGUUUCUGGUACUUGGGAUUUUAAGGAUCCACUCAUGGCGGCUUAUCGCCGAGAGGUUGAUGCUAUCGCUAGCCAUUUCAAAGGUUAUCAAGUGGAACAUGUUGAUCGCAGAAAAAAUGAGGCAGCUAAUGCUUUGAGCCGGUUACGGUCCCAGCGUAAGCCGGUGCCACCUAACACUUUCCUGGAUAUUCUGCAUACCCUUCAGUCAAAUUACCUACGGAGGAGGAUUUAGCUAUUCCUGACCCGGAAGCACAACUGGUGGUGCCUCUUCAUGUUAUUCCUGAUUGGACAGUUCCAUACAUGGCCUAUAUGACCCGGGGCGAGUUACCUGAGGAUAAAACUUUGGCCAGGUAGACAACCUGGCGGUCUAAGUCAAUGACUAUUGUCAAUGGAGAGUUGCAUCAUCGCAAUGUUAUAGGGGCAUUUCAACGUUGUGUUUCUCCUGAAGAAGGCUGUGAGAUUCUGCGAGAGACUUAUGAAGGAGAUUGUGGUCAUCAUGCCGGUUCCAAGUCUCUUGUAGCCAAGGCUUUCCGACAUUGGUUUUAUUAGCUGAAGGUUCAUGCUGAUGCUAAGGAUUUAGUUAGUAAAUGUGAUGGUUGUCAGAAAUUUGCGCGAUGAGCUCAUGUGCCGGCUCAAGAAUUGAGGAUGAUUCCAAUUGCUUGGCCGUUUGCAGUCUGGGGCAUUGAUAUGGUUGGGCCUUUCAAAAGGUCCAAGGACAAAAAGACCCACCUCCUGGUGGCGGUUGACAAAUUUACAAAGUGGGUUGAAGCAGAGCCGGUUAGCAAGUGUGACGCAGCGACAACGGUUCAAUUCAUGAAAAAAGUGAUCUUCUGGUUUGGUUUUCCCCAUAUCAUCAUAACUAAUAAUGGCACUAAUCUGUCCAAGGGUGAUAUGAAAGAGUUUGUCAGCGAGAGCAUAUUCGACUUGAUGUAUCAUCAGUGGCUCACCCCCAGUCUAAUGGUCAAGCUGAAAGAGCCAAUCAAGAAAUUUUGCGAGGCAUCAAGCCCUGGCUUAUGGUCCCUUUGCAAAGGAUGCUGGGUUGUUGGGUAGAGGAGUUACCCUCAGUGUUAUGGAGUAUCAAUACCACCCCCAACAGAUCUACGGGAUACAUGCCUUUCUUCAUGGUUUCCAGAGCAUAGGCGGUUCUCCCUAGUGACAUCCGUCACGAUUCACCCCAUGCGGCGGCUUAUGUGGAAGCUAAUAAUGGAAAAGCACGCCAGGACGCACUUGACCUGUUGGAUGAGGAGCGUGACCUUGCGGCGGCUCGUUCGGCGACUUACCAGCAAGAUCUGCGCCGUUAUCACAGCCGCUGGGUUAAAACCAGAACCUUUCAAGAAGGUGACUUGGUGCUCUGGCUUAUCCAGGAUCAGACUGAUAUGCAUAAGCUAUCCCUGCCUUGGGAAGGGCCUUUUGUGGUCAGCAAGAAUCUGAACAAUGGGUCAUACUAUCUUAUUGAUGUUCAAGAUCACAAGGACUCACGCACAUCGGAGGAGGACACCCGUCGGCUGUGGAAUAUCGCUCAUCUUCGGCCUUACUAUACUUGAGCCACCGGCUCUUGUGAUGUACAUAUUUUGACGAUGUGUAUAUUAUAAUGAAAAUAAUAAAGCCGACAUCCCUGAUAAUUCAGGGCCUCUGUCAUUUCAUUUCUUCGAAACUGAGUCUUUAUUAUCAUUUCAUAUAAAAGGCUUGAUGCCCAAAGUUACAGAGACCAAAAAGAGUUUGAUGCACAGCACAGCUCAAACAUAGGUACCUGUUGAUCACAGCUCAAAAACAUAUCACUUGGGGGCUUCCUGUUCAAUGAACAUAGCUGUAUCUACCCUCUUGAUUGGCAUGGAUGCCAGGUGUAUUCACCAAAAAUCCGGGUUAUCUGGCCUGUAUCCAAGAUGCCCUUCGACCAGGUAAUUCUGGAUGACCUGUUCUGUUCUUAACAAGUCAAUCUCUUAAAUGAGACCCUGAACUUGUCAAGGUUAAAACAUUGAUUGGGUCAUGAAAGAGCCAACUUACAGAAUGCAAGGAGAAGCUCAGGCUGAUAAGCCGCCUUCCUUGAAACUUGGUUAAACCGACAUGUUUUGCACGAUGCUACUCCGACCCCGCCAUACUCUCGAUAAGUCAAUCUUUUAAAGACCCUGAACUUAUCCAGGUUAAAAUGUCGAUUGGGUCAUGUGAGAGCCAGCUCACAGAAAGCGCGGAUACUCCAGUGGCUAUCAUGCUAGUUUCAUUGAAGAAGAUAUUUUGGCUCGGCGGCCUAUGAAAGCCUCGUGUUUUUUGGGUUCUUUAUUUAUUUUAUUGAUUUCGGAUUUGGAUCACCUCUUUUUCUUACCAUAUGGUUUUUACAACUUGGGCCAGGCAGCCCUGAUUAUGUCUCAUAUUUGGGAUAUUACCCCCUACCCUGGUUAUGGACUCUUAUGGUCACUAGUGGAAUUAUACUGGGCAUCAUGACCCGCCCUACGGUAAACCGCCAGGGCACUUAUGAUUUGUUUGUGUGCAGGAAAAAGGGAUAAAUAAUUGAUCUACAUGAUGAUAUCAUAAACAUAAGUUGCAUAGCCUCAACCGAUGGAUCAGCAGUAUCAUGUAAAAUAAAAACAUGCACGAUGGCAUGGCAGAUCAAGAGUUUCACUAGCCUAUUACAAGGCAUCUGGUGGCCCGAUAAGAACAAAUGUUUUGGAAAUGUCAAACACAAUAAAGUACUUUGCUUGAUAAGCCGGCUCAUGACUGUAGGAGGGUUGAAGCCUCCGGGUCACCUUGUGCUUCUUCUUCAUCUUCAACUCCUUGGUUAUCUAUCAGCUAGAAGUCAGGCGUAGCCCAGUCGAUACCGGUCAACGCUCUAAACACAGCCUCAUCAACAAUAAGGUUUGAUGGAUCAAUGUCAGGAGCGAAGGUAUGCUUACAAAUUGGCGGGAUGAGAUCUGUCUCCUAAUGAAUCAGUGCUUUCACCUUUUUAUUAUCAGCGUCAUAAGCUGCCUGAUACUAUGAUAGAUUGGUUUAUUUUCUUUAGCUAGCCGGGUUGCCAAUGGGCGCAUUGAUCUUACUAUAUCUGCAAAAUCAUCUACACUGAAGGGCGUCCUGUCUUCUUUUACGCUUGGGCAACCAUUGGCCAGAUCCUUCGGGUCAAGAUCUGCUUGCCAUGCUUUCUCCCGGCUUAGGGUAGUUAAAGCGCUGGCUCUGGCAGAGGCUUGUUUCAACUCUUCAAUCCUUUCGGACACUACUGACAAUCUUUCCAAUGUCUCCUUGAUAAGACUAGGUGACUGUUUUUUGUGAAGAGCAGCAGCAAUGGUCCGUUGAGCACCAAUAUUUGUUCUACCAGAGUGUAGACAGCCUUCAACCGGACGUGCAUGUCUGAGCCCAAAUUGGCGCUUCGGGAGCCUGUAUUAAUUCAUUUAUUUAUUAAGCCGACACAGUUUAUAACAGAUUCAAUGGGAUAAAUGGUAGCAGGGUUAAUACUUACCAAAGAUAGCUAGUGACAUAUUAGUAAUUUGCUGCCUUAAGCUGGACAGUUCAUCAGUUACUGACUUAAGAGCGGCUUCAGCUUCUUCUGCUCUUUUCAGUAGAGCCGCCUUUUCAGUCUCCCAGCUAUCUUUGUCAGCACUGAAGGUCUGCUUGAGCUGCUCAACGUUUGCCGAAGAAAUCCUCAAUUCUGAUUGGGCCUUGGAUGUUAAAGAUUUUUGAGUCUUUAUGUUGGCCUUCAAAUCAUUGAGUCGCGAGUCCUUCUCAAUCAAUUCAGCCUGUGACAUAAGUGCACAUAGACAAGAUUACGAUCAUGAUUACCCUUUCAAAGUCCCAAGCACAAUACAAGUAUUAUUGUUGGCACUUGGGGGCUAAUGCAUAUUGCUCUUUUUGAAGACAAAUUUUUCAAAGUCCCAAGCACAAUAUAAAUAUUAUCCUUGGCACUUGGGGGCUAAUGCCUAUUGGUGUUUUCCAAGACAAAUUUAUGACCCGGACAAAUGAUGUGAUCCGGCCUAUAAAGACGAUACAUUGGGUUGUUGAUUUUAAAACAGGAUGAUUAGUCCCGACUUAUUCAUCACUAAUUAAGCUGGCCAUUGGGGGCUACGGUUGCAAUAUUAAUUCUUGCUACUUAAAGUCCCGGUUUAACAUAUUUGUUAAGCCGGACCUUGGGGGCUACUGGAUUUUAUCUAUGCAACUAUUGAAGUUUACAGUGCAUUCUAUUCUAUCAUGUCCAAUAAACUUGGCAGCUAAGGGAAGUAUAUUCAUAUAGAAACGAGUUGCAACAUUUACCUCAUAGCGCUCUUUCAUCGGAUUCACUAAGCCGGCUUCAAAGUCACGGCUGGUGUACAGACGCUUCAAGUAACUAGAGUGGAUGUCUUGGGCACUGAAAUGGGCGUAGCUAUCCAAGUCCACCUUCCAAUUGCCUUUAUCUUCAACAGAAAUUUCUUCCUUGGCACUGUGCUAAAUAAGGUAGUAGGUUGACCCAAAGCUGUGAAUCCAACCCCAGUAAAGAUAACGUCAUCAGCUUUCUCCUCAGUAGGCUUAAUCGGGCUUGACGGCUUAGAAAUAUCCGGUUCAACAUCCAUAUGAUCUAUGGAGGCCUCAUGGUGUUGAGGCGGCGGGUCAUCAAUAAUAUUUUCAGUAGCUGGUUGUUGUUGUUCUGGCUCAGACGGGAUGACGUCGUCGGCCGGUUUAUUCAGUUUUGCUUUCUUGCUGGGUUUGGCCUGGCCCCUGAAAAUAAGAAGUGUAAAGAGGUCAGUGCAAUGCUCAGAUAUAAGGUAUAAAUAAUUGAACAUGUUCUUACCCAGGUACAGUCUUGAAGGCUGGGAUUUGAGUUCCCGUUGACUCGCCAGAGGAGGAAUGAGAAGUCCCCUGAUAGUUUGAAUCGGACGGGUUAAGAGGUUGUCAGAAAUAACCCGCCUUGGGAUAAAGUGUAUCAGAAAUAUGUAAGACCUCUGGGCGAUGUUUGCGAGCUGCGUGUUUGGUAAGAUGGAGAAAGUAAUUACACCACCACUAUGCCGGGUGGUGCAACGAGCUUCGUGUUGCUGUUUCUUCAAAAGAAAGUUGGGAUCCAAGUGAGCUAGAGGGUGAGAAAGCCUUACUUUUCGGCUUGCUUGUCGGGUUUUCUGUGUUGGCAGAGGCUCUGAGCCGGAGGAAAGAAUAAUUACCUCUGUGUCGCCUGCAUGGCUGGCUUCUGCGUCGUCCUGAUAACAAUCGUUGUCAAUGAGAUGUAUAAAAAAAGAGCCAAGUGAAUCAAGUUCUACCUAUGAUUCAUCGUCAUCAGUGUCAUCAUCAAUAUUUAAGCCGGCCAUCUCGGCGGUUUUCUUCUUGGCACGUCUUUUGGUGACCUUGGUUUUUGUACGAGCUGGCUUAACCAACUUAUCUUGCGGUUUCUUCUUCCAAAAUGGAGAGUCAGCCUGUUAAGGUCAAAAAGAUCAUGAGUGGGUGUAAUUAUGGAAAAUACUGAUGGAGCGGAAGAUGUGCAAACUUACGGCUGGCGGCUUGUUGAAGGUGCUAAAAGGACUAAGUCCUGUCGUGAUGCAUUCUUUUAAAGGUUCGUUCAUCAAUUUCUUGGUAGCUUCAUUGAUUUCUGCAUCGGACAGUUGGAUGUCACAGUGGCGCUGGGGAUCUUUCACAUUGCCAGUGUAUUCACACAUUAAGCCAAGGCGACGGCUUAAUGGCAAGAUACUCCAGGACACCCAGCACCAGACAAGGUCGACGCCGGUUAAACCAUUGGCCAUAAAGGCUCCGAGCUUUCAAAAUGAUGGUGUAUAUUUGGCCUGCUCCUUCGCACUGAGCAGUGAGGGGAGUGGAUGUGUGUUGCUAAGCCGGGAUCGCCGUAACCCAGUAAGGGAUUUUCGUUGGCUGGAGAUGUGUCUUGACAAUAGAACCAAGUUUGGUUCUAGUCUUUGGGGUGACUUGGCGGCUUAGCUAUGACGCCCCGAGACCGAUGUGCCAGGUGUCUUCCAGUUAUUCGCUGUUGUUGCCAUGUCAUUUGCUUGCGUGUUGCAUUUCAUCAUGUCAUCAUGUGCAUUGCAUCAUCAUGUUUUCAAAACCUGCAUCCGUCCGGGUUCCCCUAGUUCCGUCCGUUGUCCGUUCUGAGCCCAACCUCAGUCGCACGCGCCUGUGGCACGUCCGAAUUAUUAUUUUAUAAGUGGCCGGAAAAUGUUCUCGGAUUGGGUUGAAAGUUGGCGUGUGGUCUUAUUAUAGUGUAGAUAGACCGCCUAUCAAGUUUCAUCGCGUUUGGAGUCCGUUUGAUAGCCCAACCGUUAAACUAUAGCGGUAGUAUAGCCGGUCUUUUCGUCGGACGUUUUCGGUCUCCGAAAACCGUGCCGGGCUGCUUCUCUCCCCUAUUCUCUCACACCAACCCGCUCUCCACAGUCCACACUUAACCUCGUUCGCCUAACCCCUAUCUACACAGUGCUUCGACCCCUCGCGCGCGUCCGAGAGUUGUCCCGGACCCGACCCGGACAGUUGUCACCGUUGGAUCCGGAUCAUCCCCAAACAUCUACAAAACGUCUCCGUUUUGUUAUUUGGACUCCCUAACCAAUUUAUUCUCGACCGCCCGAUUACGAUCGGACGGACCGAAUGCCCCCUAACCUAAUCCAACAACAUAUAUAUAGAAAGCAACCCUAAUUUUGAGGAGAGUUGUCCCAUCCAUCCACUUCUUCCGCCGCCAUCCUCUCUCUAAAUCCUCCUCGGAGUCCACAUCGAGCCAACCACACAACACCAGCCAGAUCCAAAAAUUUCACCCACUUCCCUCCUGUCUCCUCGCUAGUUGGAGCCUCCGAAGCCGCAGCUCCUGCCCGUGGAGCCCCUCGUCCCCGUGCCCCUGGUUCGCUCGAUCCAGAGGAGAGGAGCAUGCCAUCGUCAGGCUCCUCCCUGCUCCCUCGCUCUAGUUUGGAUCGAGGGGAGGAGCCCCUCGACCUCGACCCGCCGCCCCGCCAAGUCGUUGGAGUCCGCCGUGGCGUCCGAUUUCCGCCGGAGUUGCUCUGUUCCUCGCACGAACCAGCAGGUCGUCCACACCGCCCUGCCCUUUUUACUCUCCUUCGCUGAAGCUCUAUCUGCCUCCCUGACCUCUCUUCCUCUCUUGGAGCAGCAGCAGCAGAAGCUUCCACCACCACGCCGUGUUUCCGUUCCUCUGCUUCGUCGCCGUCCAGGAACGCCCCGAGUCCACCACCGCCGCCCUGCUUUCCUCCUCUGCUUCGGGCCAUGUCCAGCACCACGUCGACUCCUGCAUCGCCCUAUUGUCGCGUCGUUAGCCGCCGCUGCCGUGGUCUUCCCCUUCGCCAAGUCCCAGCACCCGCGGCCCUCCGCCUCUCGCCUUCCUGCAUUUGCUGCGCCGCCGCGUUCCCCGUCGCCGUCGACCUCCAUGCCCCGCCACCGGCCUCUGUGAUUUCUGCAUCAAGCAGGAGCUCGAACCGCUGCCCUGUUCGUCUUGAUCCAACGAGACCGGGUCGGCCUCCUCGUGACCGUGUGGGUCGCUUCCUGCAGCGAGGCCCAGCACGCCCCUCUCCUCUCCGUUGUGGGCCUCGGCCCAUGGUGAGCAACACCCCAGCCCCUCUCUCUGUUGGUCUUCCUGUUCAGUUUCGGCCCGAGUCACGUUUGUUUCCGCGGAAUGUUUUUCUAUUUAACCAGUGCUCUGCAUUUUUAUAGAUUGGACCCUAUACUUCAUGCAUAUAAUAUCUCACAAACCGUGCAUCGGAUUAUAACAAACUUUAUAUGUAACAUGCUUAGAAUUUCAUCUAGUUUAAUAAUAUGCUACUUUCAUCCAUGUUAAAAAUGUUUAAACUUCUGUUUGUGUAAUUUUUGCCUAUUAUCAUGCUAAAAUGAUUUAAUUCAUAACUAAAUAACCAUAGCUCCAAAUUUAACAAACUUUAUAUGUAAAUGGGGUGGAAAAUGCCUAGUUUAACAUGGUGGCAUCAUCUUGCAUGUUUAGUAACUCUAAAAUUGUGUUUAGGGCAGAUCAGUACCAAAUUCAAAUAUUGCAUGUGGGGAUUUACCGGAAUUGUUGAUUGUUAUUUCCGGCCUCAGUUAAACUUGCCUAAAAUGUUUAGUUUACUUAUGCUCCACCUCUUGCCAUGUUUAACAACAUUUAACAUUGUUGGAUACAUAAACAAGAUCGAACUAAAUAAGUCACGUGGUGUUUCGUCAAUAUGCAACGGAUAUUGAGCUCCACUUAAUUUGUAGGGUUGUUUGUGCACUUUGCCAUGUCAUGCAUAUUUAAACCGGACAUGCAUCAUACUUGGUUGUGCAUCAUGCCAUGUUUAUGUGAUGGUUGUUUACCAUGUUGUUUGCUUCUUUCCGGUGUUGCUUCUUCGGGUUAGUUCCGUUAACGUCGCGUUUGUGAGGAUCCGUUCGACUAUGUUCGUUUGUCUUCUUCAUGGACUUGUUCUUCUUCCUUGCGGGAUCUCAGGCAAGAUGACCAUACCCUCUAAAUCACUUCUAUCUUUGCUUGAUAGUUGCUUGUUCUUUUGCUAUGCCUAUGCUGCGAUACCUACCACUUGCUUUAUCAUGCCCCCAUAUUGCCAUGUCAAACCUCUAACCCACCUUGUCCUAGCAAACCGUUGUUUGGCUAUGUUACCGCUUUGCUCAGCCCCUCUUAUAGCGUUGUUAGUUGCAGUUGAAGAUUGGAGCUUGUUCCAUGUUUGGAACAUGGAUAUUUGUUGGGAUAUCACAAUAUCUCUUAUUUAAUUAAUGCAUCUAUAUACUUGGUAAAGGGUGGAAGGCUCGGCCUUAUGCCUGGUGUUUUGUUCCACUCUUGCCGCCCUAGUUGCCGUCAUACCGGUGUUAUGUUCCUUGAUUUUGCGUUCCUUACACGGUUGGGUUAUAAUGGGAACCCCUUGAUAGUUUGCCUUGAAUAAAACUCCUCCAGCAAGGCCCAACAUUGGUUUUACCAUUUGCCACCUAGCUUUUUCUUUCCCUUGGGUCGGCCGGCUCAAGGGUCAUCUUUAUUUAACCCCCCCGGGCCAGUGCUUCUCUAAGUGUUGGUCCAACUGAGCGAUGUCCGAGGCUACCAGGGGCAACUCAGGGCUGGCCUACCCGACGUCUUGCUCAUCCGGUGUGCCCUGAGAACGAGAUAUGUGCAGCUCCUAUCGGGAUUUGUCGGCACAUCUGGGUGGCUUUGCUGGUCUUGUUUUACCAUUGUCGAAAUGUCUUGUAACCAGGAUUCCGAGCCUAAUCGGUUCUUCCUGGGAGAAGGAAUAUCCUUCGUUGACCGUGAGAGCUUGUGAUGGGCUAAGUUGGGACACCCCUACAGGGUUUUGAACUUUCGAAAGCCAUGCCCGUGGUUAUGGGCAGAUGGGAAUUUGUUAAUGUCCGGUUGUAGAGAACUUGACACUUAACUUAAUUAAAAUGCAUCAACCGCGUGUGUUACCGUGACGGUCUCUUCUCGGCGGGGUCCGGGAAGUGAACACGGUGUUGGGGUUAUGCUUGAACAUAAGUAGUCUAGGAUCACUUCUUGAUCAUAGAUUCUCGACCGUGCUUUUGCCUUCUCUUCUCGCUCUCAUUUGCGUAUGUUAGCCACCAAAUAUGCUAGUCGCUUGCUGUAGCUCCACCUCAUACCUUUUACCCUUCCUAUAAGCUUAAAUAGUCUUGAUCACGAGGGUGUGAGAUUGUUGAGUCCCCGUGACUCACAGAUACUUCCAAAACCAGUUUGCAGGUGCCGAUGAUACCGUGCAGGUGACGCAACCGAGCUCAAGGAGGAGCUCGAUGAAGAUCGUGUUCGUUAUGUUGUUCCGUUUUUCAGAUGAUCAGUAGUGGAGCCCAGUUGGGAUGAUCGGGGAUCUAUGUAGUAUUUGGGGUAGUCUUCAUCUAUUUUGGUUCCGUAGUCGGACCUUGAUUGUAUCUGGAUGUUGUAAUGUUAUAUUCAUGUAUUGUGUGAAGUGGAGAUUGUAAGCCAACUAUGUAUCUCUUUCCUUUCAGUACAUGGGAUGUGUAAAGAUUACCCCUCUUGCGACAUUGCUUACAAUGUGGUUAUGCCUCUAAGUUGUGCUUCGACACGUGGGAGAUAUAGCCGCAUCGUGGGCGUUACAUUAGCAUAGGGAAAGCUGACAUCUUUCCUCUUUUGAAUUGAAACCCCACCAAUUUUAGUGUUGGGCCCAUCAACAAAUUCAAUCUGGUGGUUUAAAUAGUAGAACUCUCUGAAUAAAUCAAUUGUGGGCUCCUCUUGAAGAUAAGCUUCACAGAACACUUGGAAAUUGCAAAUGUUGGACACGGAGUUGGGUCCGAUAUCUUGAGGGUGAAGUUGGAGAAAAUGAAGCACAUCACGGAAGAACUUUGAGCUGGGUGGGCCGAACCCCCGACUCAGGUGAUCAGCAAAAACAAUCACUUCUCCAUCCUUGGGUUUAGGAGGAAAUUCUUCACCAGGCACUACUGCAGGAUGCUACUAACGCGACACUACGAUAAAAUGACCCUUCGACGAAACUGUGUGCGAUGCAAUAAUAGCGAACGUUGGUGUAAAAGAACCACCAAAAAAGGUGCAAAACAUUUGCGAUUGAGGAGCCAUCAAACACGGUUCAGAUUUUAGUUACGUGUGUGAUUCAGGACAUACGGUUCAGUCCAAUGAACUCUGUGCAUGAGGCGGAACAAAAGAAACGGGCAGCCUGAUGAAGGCGUGUGCGAUAUACAGCAUACGGUUCACUCGGAUGAAUUGUUUGUGAUUAGGCAACACAAAAGAAACGGUCAGCCAGAUCAAGGUGUGUGUGAUUGAGGGCAUACGCUUCAGAAGGAUUAACUGUUUGCGAUUAGGCAACAGAACAGAAAUGGUUCCGCCAAAUCAAAGUGUCUGGUUGAUGGCAUACACUUCACAUGGAUGAACUGUUUGCGAUUAGCCACAACAAACUAAAACAGUUAGAUAGAUCAACGUGUGUGCGCUAGACGGGCACACACAUUCUAAUUUAAAGAAGCGUGCAUGAUGGUAAUAACGAUCGCGCAAAGUUGUUGGAACAAGACGUGUGUUGACAUUGCCUAUUGCGGUGCACCCUAUGGUGCAAACGGCACGUACGCAGCCGAGAAGGCGUACGUGCCCACGUUACGCCUUUGGGAAUAGUGCCGCACUUAUAACCGUCAGUAAAUUUUGAGCAUGUGUCCCGUCACAUUCCAAAUUGCAAACCUGUUCACACGGAUCAAAACCUAAACGGUUUCCCACUUAGGAGUGUAUUACUACGCGGUUAUAAAUACUACUACUCCAAGAUGACUGCACAUUCCUCCUCAACUCCUCAUCCACAAAAACAAACAAGUCAUUCAUCAUCGUUCCCUUGCGUCCCCCAUGGCCAGCGUGAGUUCUGGGUCGAGAGAUAGCCACCAGGGAGAGGCGAGCCUGGAAGCGAAAGCACGAGAGAUGUCCCGCCUCGCCGCGAAAGCAACCAACAAGUCCCGCGCACGGCUGUAGCAGCAGAGAGGUCCUGCCGCAACACUGAAACAACACAGAGGUCCCCCCGCACCGUUGAUGCAACAGAUUGGUCCAGCCGCGCCGCAGAAGCAGAAGAGAUGUCCCGCCGUGCCGCCAAUGCAGCAUAGAUGUCCUCCCGCGCCGCGGCAGCAUGGGAAAAUGUCUCGCGGGCAAGCGAGGACUCUUAUAGGCGCAUGCAUGCCCUCAUCCUUAGGUAGAUGGAUCAGAUCUCCAGGUGGGUGAUACGUCUCCAACGUAUCUAUAAUUUUUGAUUGCUCCAUGCUAUUAUAUUAUCUAUUUUGGAUGUCAAUGGGCUUUAUUUUACACUUUUAUAUCAUUUGUAGGACGAAAAGGAAUAUCAAACGGAGUCCAAAUGGAAUGAAACCUUCAGGAACGUGAUUUUCUCAACAAACGUGAUCCAGGAGACUUGAAGUGGGCGUCAAGAAACAAUCGAGGAGGCCACGAGGCAGGGGGCGCCUACCCCCUGGGCGCGCCCUCCACCCUCGUGGGACCCUCGUUGCUCCACCGACCUACUUCUUCCUCCUAUAUAUAUCCACGUACCCCCAAACAUCCAGGAGGACCACGAAAACCUAAUUCCACCGCCGCAACCUUCUGUACCCGAGAGAUCCCAUCUUGGGGCCUUUUUCGGAGCUCCGCCGGAGGGGGCAUUGAUCACGGAGGGCCUCUACAUCAACUCCAUGGCCACUCCGGUGAUGUGUGAGUAGUUUACUUCAGACCUACGGGUCCAUAGUUAUUAGCUAGAUGGCUUCUUCUCUCUAUUUGGAUCUCAAUACAAAGUUCUCCUCGAUCUUCUUGGAGAUCUAUUCGAUGUAAUCUUCUUUUGCAAUGUGUUUGUCGAGAUCCAAUGAAUUGUGGGUUUAUGAUCAAGUUUAUCUAUGAACCAUAUUUGAAUCUCCUCUGAAUUAUUUUAUGUAUGAUUGGUUUAUCUUUGCAAGUCUCUUCGAAUUAUCAGUUUGGUUUGGCCUACUAGAUUGAUCUUUCUUGCAAUGGGAGAAGUGCUUAGCUUUGGGUUCAAUCUUGCGGUGUCCUUUCCCAAUGACAACAGGGGCAGCAAGGCAUGUAUUGUAUUGUUGCCAUCGAGGAUAAAAAGAUGGGGUUUAUAUCAUAUUGCAUGAGUUUAUCCCUGUACAUCAUGUCAUCUUACUUAAAGCAUUACUCUCUGUUCUUAUGAACUUAAUACUCUAGAUGCAUGCUGGAUAGCGGUCGAUGUGUGGAGUAAUAAUAGUAGAUGCAGAAUCAUUUUGGUCUACUUGUUGUGGACGUGAUGCCUAUAUACAUGGUCAUACCUAGAUAUUCUCAUAACUAUGCUCAAUUCUAUCAAUUGCUCGACAGUAAUUCGUUUACCCACCGUAAUACUUAUGCUCUUGAGAGAAGCCACUAGUGAAACCUAUGGCCCCCGGGUCUAUCUUCCAUCGUAUUAAUCUUCCAACACUUAGUUAUUUCUAUCACUGUUUACUUUACUUUGCAUCUUUAUUUCUCUUUAUAUCAUAAAAAUAGCAAAAAUAUUAUCUUAUCAUAUCUAUCAGAUCUCACUCUUGUAAGUGACCGUGAAGGGAUUGCCAACCCCUUUAUCGUGUUGGUUGGGAGGUUCUUAUUUGUUUGUGUAGGUGAGUGGGACUCGGGCGUGAUCUCCUACUGGAUUGAUACGUUAGUUCUCAAAAACUGAGGGAAAUACUUACGUUACUUUACUGCAUCACCCUUUCCUCUUCAAGGGAAAACCAACGCAGUGCUCAAGAGGUAGCAACACUACAAAAAAUACACUUCCGUGAUGAUACGUGUUUGUCACAGUAGGUUGCUUUUUUUGUCAUGCAUGUACAUCCAUGACAAAUUUAUGACAGAAUUAAGAUAGUAAUAUCUGUGCUGUCGUAGAAGUGUUCCAUGACAUUACCAAAAUUAUCAUCACGGAAGUGUCCACUUCCAUGACGAUAAAUCGCGCGUCAUAGAAGUGCUUUCGUCAAGGGUGACCGACAUGUGGCAUCCACCGUAAUGGAACGCCGUUAAGCUAUCGGGUCGGGUUUUGGAUCCGAUAACCCGUUAACAGCCCCAACCAAUGGGAAAUUUCCACGUGUACGUGUCAGCUCGUCAGUGGGUCAGAUAGGCGCCUAUGAUACGUCGACACGUGGCACGGCCCAAUAGAGGCCCAUUCCUAUGAAAAGGCCGGCCCGUUUGACUUGGUCAAAAGGUGGCGGGCCGACCAAAGCCUGUUAACGGCCUGUUCGCAUAUAGCCCAUUUACAGCCCGCUAACCCAAGGCCUGUUACGCCCUAUCCGAAUUAGGCCCAAUAGCUUCAUCUGGGCCAUCCAAUAUGAUUCCAGCCCGUUUUCACUUCUGGCCCAUGUAUGGCCCAUGAUGUCUUCCGGCCCAUAUGAGGCCCUAUGUAACUCUUGGCCUAUUAAUGGCCUGUGGUGAAACUGGCCCGUAAUGAACAGUGUAUCACUUUAUACCCAUUAACGACCCGUUAUUCCGUUGGGCCGUUUCCAACCCAUGUUAUCUUUCGGCCUUCUUAGAGCCCAUUUAUUCUUGGGCUCAUUUCCAGCAUUCGUUUACUUACGGCCCGUUACUGUCAUUUUCUGCUAGUGGGCCAAAUUCAGCCUGUAGUUACAGUCGGCCCGUUUGUGGUCCGUUAAUAUGUUGGGUCGUUUUCAUAGAGUUAUCAAAUAUGGCCUAUUAUCGAUGGCCUGUUACGGUCGGCCCAUGAACGGACGAUUCCAACUCUAGCCCAUUUACGGCCAUGAUGCGGCCUGUUAUUGGCCCAUGUUUGGCCAAUUGAUCAUACGGCCCGUAUAAGGCCCAUUGAUGAUAGAGCCCGUAGAAGGCCAUUGUUUCUAUGGCCCAUAGAAGGCCUACUGUUUCUACGGCCCGUAGAAGGCCCACUGUUUCUACGGCCCGUAGGAGGCCCAGUGUCACUACAGUAAAUAUUAGCCCAUGGUUAUUGUGGCCUAGGUUUAAAAAAUAGGUUAUUGCAGCCACUAGUUAACCGCGGAAAAGGAACUGCAAUGACUACAAGCAAACAAAUAAACAAGACAGCAAGGAAAUAAAUAAGCAAGCAACUAAUGCUAGGCUAUCACGGCUAUUACACAUAUUACAUCCACUGGGCAUCAAAGUUCACCACCAGUGCAAACAUAGGGAACAAAGCAGCAUAUCAUAUACACUGGCCGUCAAAAUUGGCCACCAGUGCAAAUAAACAUGGCAGCAAAACAAGAGCAUAACUGAAACAACUUCAGAAGAGCUCAAGAAGCGUUAUCCUGGGUAUCCACCAUGCUGGCAAUAAGCUUAGCAAGCUGAUUAGCUUUGUCCUGUUUGGCGCUAAAAUCCUCCAACGCUUGUUGUUGCACCACAAAAUAUGCAUCUGAAUGCUCCACGGACUUCCGUAGUCCUUCCGCUUCUUGUCGCAGCACAGCUAAACAAUGUCUUUCAGCUUGUAGUUGAGACUCAAGAAACCAAACUAAUUCAGACAGUGAGUUUGAAUAGCUUGUGCAAGCGAUAGUGGCCAGUAACUCCAACACUAAACCAAGACAGGAUGUGUCACUAUCCUGAACCUUAUCUGCAUUACUUCCUUUACCGUUGCUUAAUAAGGCACUCUUCCCCAAUAUUUGUCAGCAUUCUAAAAGAAGAAACAAGCAGACACAUAACAAGUUUAGCAUGUACUAGUAUAUGAAACUCAUUUCGGUGAACCAGUUCAUUAGUAAGGUGGACAUGAUUAAACUACCAAGUCUUCUAUUGCCAAGUACUAGUACAUAAUAAAAGCAUCAAACAAACAUAUAUCUAUGUCCUAUGGUAGCAAUGGAAUCUUAAACUAGAACAGUUGUUCUUCAGGUUUAGGCACUUGUUCUACAUGAACAGAGCACAAUAAGACGCAAGAAUAUAAUACUUAAAAAUAGAAAAUGAGCUCAUAGACCUUACCACAUUCUUGGUUCGGGACCAGUACAGAACAAGGCAUUCCCAGUCAUCGUCCAGUAAAUGUGUCUCACGAGAAUGUAAGGGAAUUUGAUGAGUUUCUUUGCCGGUGAAGUACGUUUUCUUCAGGUAAUUCCGAUACUGCCACCAAGCAUUCUUAAAUAUAGCAGAGGUAUUAGCACAGGUUACCUCAUCCUGAGUUUCCAAAUCGGUCCUUCUCUAUUGAGAAAAAUGGGAAAGUUUGCUGUAUUAUAACCACCAUGGAGGUAGGAUGUAUGGUACGAAGCAAAGUAAUUGUCAUGAAUAACAUUACUUACACAUAACUCCUGGACAAACACCUGCAACUGGCAUUUUCCUUCAUCUUCAGUAUAAUAUUUCCAAGAUGGGAAGAUACGCACAUAUGUUUUAACAACAUCAAAUGCGAUAGAUGCUAAACUAUGACUAGCUGGUUGUGCUUCCUCCACAGGAAUAGGCGUAUUAACUGGUGGAGUUGGGGUUCGCCGUGAUAGUACUGGCCCUUUGGGCACUGGAGCUGCCUUACUAACUGCUCUUGUUUGGGAGCUCUGUGGUGGAGAUGGUGCUGUAUCAACAUGAACUGGGUUACUAUCGGCUGGGGUUGGGGUUAGAUUGGGUGAAGCUGGUUCUCUGUCCAUCGUAGUAGGGGUACAAUCUGCGAGAGUUUGGGUUAUGUGUGGUAGGGCUGGUUCUUGUGCAUGCACAACCGGGGUGCUAUCUCCACCAAGAGGUAGCACUGUUUUAUUUGAAGACCGUGUUUUUAGUCCGCUAGAUACUGGCAUCACCCGCUCCAAUUCAAAUGGCUGAUAAACAGGAAACACAGUUGAAUGUACAGACAUUGUAUAUGAGACAGAUGCAAUAGAUAGUGUGGAAAAAAGAGGGCAUGAAAUAGUUGACAUGUAUAUUGUUUAACUAAAACGGAUAACAUGACAUAAUUUCACAUAUAUGAUGUCUAUCUAAACUGGAUAGCAUAGCAUAACAUAAUUCAAAGAUAUGAUGAAUAACUAAACAGGAUCGCAUGACAUAAUUCACCUACAUGUUAUCUAAGUAAUCAGGAUCGCAUCAUUUAAUUCACAUAUGUGAUUUAUAUGCUAAACAGAGGACAUUCGAUAUGAUGUCUGAACUAAGAACAUGGUGUUGAAUAUUGUGUAUAUGAUGUCUAAACUAUGCAAUACAAGACACCGUAUGCAUGAUAUGAGUAGUAUAACCGUGCCAAGUUAGAGCAUACACCUCAGUGGGAGAAUAGGACUGGCCAUCUGUCUUUGAAUCCAUCUCUGAGAAGCUAUCGGGACCCAACAAGAGAUCUGCUUUGACAGGUAGCACUGUCUGCUCUGAAGGCCUUGUUUUCACUCCAGAUUUUUCCAUCUCCAACCCAAAUGGCUGAUUCACAGGAAGAGUAGUUUAAUAUACAAACAUUGUCGGCAAAUGGAAAUGUAAUGAAGAUAACAUUGUCGGCAAGAUAUAAUUCAAAUACAUGAUGCCUGGUUAAACAGGAUGGCAUUGCACAUUUCACAUAUAUUAUGGCUGGCUAAAAGACAUGAGACUGCAUAAUUCCCAUAUAUGAUAUAGAAACUAAACAGGUGGCAUUACAGAACAUGUCUAAACUAAGUAGAUGACAUAUAUGAUGUCAAAAGUAGGCACCGCAAGGCAACAUAUGCAUGAUAUUGUUGGGGAACGUUGCAGAAAACAAAAUUUUCCUACGGUUUCACCAAGAUCCAUCUAUGAGUUCAUCUAGCAACAAGUGAUUGGAUUGCAUCUACAUACCUUUGUAGAUCACGCGCGGAAGCGUUCAAAGAACGGGGAUGAGGAAGUCGUACUCGAUGUGAUCCAAAUCAUCGGAGAUCCUAGCGCCGAACGGACGGCACCUCUGCGUUCAACACACGUACGGUCAGCAUAACGUCUCCUCCUUCUUGAUCCAGCAAGGGGGAAGGAGAGGUUGAUGAUGAUCCAGCAGCACGACAGCGUGGUGCUGGAUGCAGGGCGUCACAGUAGCAGGGCUUCGCCGUAUACUACGAGAGAGAGGUGUAGCAGGGGAGAGGGAGGCGCCAAGACUCAAGGUUAGGAUGCCCCCCUCCCUCCCCCCCUUUAUAUAUAGGCUCCCCUAGGGGGGCACCGGCCCUAGGAGAUGAGAUCUCCUGGGGGGCGGCGGCCAGGGCUGGAGUAGCCCCCAAGGCAAGGUGGGGUGCCCCCCCACCCCUAGGGUUCCAACCCUAGGCGCACGGGGUAGGCCUAGGGGGCGCACCAACCCACUAUGGGCUGGUUCCCCUCCCCACUUUGGCCCAUGGGGCCCUCCGGGAUGGGUGGCCCCACCCGGUGGACCCCCGGGACCCUUCCGGUGGUCCCGGUACAAUACCGGUGAUCCCGAAACUUGUCCCGAUGGCCGAAACAGCACUUCAUAUAUAUAAUUCUUUACCUCCAGACCAUUCCGAAACUCCUCGUGACGUCCGGGAUCUCAUCUUGGACUCCGAACAACAUUCGGGUUACUGCAUAUACAUAUCUUUACAACCCUAGCGUCAUCGAAUCUUAAGUGUGUAGACCCUACGGGUUCGGGAGACAUGUAGACAUGACCGAAACGACUCUCCGGUCAAUAACCAAUAGCGGGAUCUGGAUACCCAUGUUGGCUCCCACAUGCUCCUCAAUGAUCUCAUCGGAUGAACCACGAUGUCGACGAUUCAAGCAACCCCGUAUUCAAUUCCCUUUGUCAAUCGGUAUGUUACUUGCCCGAGAUUCGAUCGUCGGUAUCCCAAUCCCUUGUUCAAUCUCGUUACCGGCAAGUCACUUUACACGUACCGUAAUGCAUGAUCCCGUGACCAGACACUUGGUCACUUUGAGCUCAUAAUGAUGAUGCAUUACCGAGUGGGCCCAGUGAUACCUCUCCGUCAUACAGAGCGACAAAUCCCAGUCUUGAUCCGUGUCAACCCAACAGACACUUUCGAAGAUACCCGUAGUAUACCUUUAUUGUCACCCAGUUACAUUGUGACGUUCGGUACACCCAAAGCACUCCUACAGUAUCCGGGAGUUACACGAUCUCAUGGACUAAGGAAAGGAUACUUGACAUUGGAAAAACUCUAGCAAACGAACUAUACGAUCUUGUGCUAUGUUUAGGAUUGGGUCUUGUCCAUCACAUCAUUCUCCUAAUGAUGUGAUCUCGUUAUCAAUGACAUCCAAUGUCCAUAGUCAGGAAACCAUGACUAUCUGUUGAUCAACGAGCUAGUCAACUAGAGGCUUACUAGGGACAUGUUGGUGUCUAUUAUUCACACAUGUAUUACGAUUUCCGGAUAACACAAUUAUAGCAUGAAUAAAGACGAUUAUCAUGAACAAGGAAAUAUAAUAAUAAUGCUUUUAUUAUUGCCUCUAGGGCAUAUUUCCAACAGUCUCCCACUUGCACUAGAGUCAAUAAUCUAGUUACAUUGUGAUGAAUCGAACACCCAUGGAAUUCUGGUGUUGAUCAUGUUUUGCUCUAGGGAGAGGUUUAGUCAACGGAUCUGCUACAUUCAGGUCCGUAUGUACUUUAAAAAUAUCUAUGUCUCCAUCUUGAACAUUUUCACGAAUGGAGUUGAAGCGACGCUUGAUGUGCCUUGUCUUCUUGUGAAACCUGGGCUCCUUGGCAAGUGCAAUAGCUCCAGUGUUGUCACAGAAGAGCUUGAUCGGCCCCGACACAUUGGGUAUGACUCCUAGGUCGGUGAUGAACUCCUUCACCCAAAUUGCUUCAUGUGCUGCCUCCGAGGCUGCCAUGUACUCCGCUUCACAUGUAGAUCCCGCCACGAUGCUCUGCUUGCAACUGCACCAGCUUACUGCCCCACCAUUCAAAAUAUACACGUAUCCGUUUUGUGACUUAGAGUCAUCCAGAUCUGUGUCGAAGCUAGCAUCGACGUAACCCUUUACGACGAGCUCUUCAUCACCUCCAUAAACGAGAAACACUUCCUUAGUCCUUUUCAGGUACUUCAGGAUAUUCUUGACCGAUGUCCAGUGUUCCUUGCCGGGAUUACUUUGGUACCUUCCUACCAAACUUACGACAAGGUUUACAUCAGGUCUGGUACACGGCAUGGCAUACAUAAUAGAACCUAUGGCUGAGGCAUAGGGGAUGACACUCAUCUCUUCUAUAUCUUCUGUCGUGGUCGGACAUUGAGCUGAGCUCAAUUUCACACCUUGCAACACAGGCAAGAACCCCUUCUUAGACUGAUCCAUAUUGAACUUCUUCAAUAUCUUAUCAAGGUAUGUGCUUUGUGAAAGACCUAUGAGGCGUCUUGAUCUAUCUCUAUAGAUCUUGAUGCCUAAUAUAUAAGCAGCUUCUCGAAGGUCCUUCAUUGAAAAACUCUUAUUCAAGGAGGCCUUAAUGUUGUCCAAGAGUUCUAUAUCAUUUCCCAUCAAAAGUAUGUCAUCUACAUAUUAUAUGAGAAAUGCUACAGAGCUCCCACUCACUUUCUUGUAAAUGCAUGCUUCUCCAUAAGUCUAUGUAAACCCAAACGCUUUGAUCAUCUCAUCAAAGCGAAUGUUCCAACUCCGAGAUGCUUGCACCAGCCCAUAAAUCGAGCGUUGGAGCUUGCACACCUUGUCAGCAUUCUUAGGAUCGACAAAACCUUCCGGCUGCAUCAUAUACAAUUCUUCCUUAAGGAAACCAUUAAGGAAUGCCGUUUUGACGUCCAUUUGCCAUAUCUCAUAAUCAUAGUAUGCGGCAAUUGCUAACAUAAUUCGGACGGACUUCAGCUUCGCUACCGGUGAGAAAGUCUCAUCAUAGUCAACCCCUUGAACUUGUCGAUAACCCUUAGCGACAAGCCGAGCUUUAUAGAUGGUCACAUUACCAUCCGCGUAUGUCUUCUUCUUAAAGAUCCAUUUAUUUUCUAUGGCUCGCCGCUCAACGGGCAAGUCAGUCAAAGUCCAUACUUCGUUUUCAUACAUGGAUCCUAUCUCGGAUUUCAUGGCUUCCAGCCAUUUGUCAGAAUCCGGGCCCGCCAUCGCUUCUUCAUAGUUCGAAGGUUCACCGUUGUCUAACAACAUGAUUUCCAAGACAGGGUUGCCGUACCACUCUGGUGCGGAAUGUGUCCUUGUGGACCUACAAAUUUCAGUAGGAGCUUGAUCAGAAGUAUCUUGAUCAUUAUCAUGAACUUCCUCUCUAUUCGGUGCAGGCACCUCAGGAACAUUUUCUUGAGUUGCGCCCUUUUCCGGUUCAAGAGGUAAUACUUCAUCAAGUUCUACUUUCCUCCCACUUACUUCUUUCAAGAGAAACUCUUUCUCUAGAAAGGAUCCAUUCUUGGCAACAAAGAUCUUGCCUUCGGAUCUGAGGUAGAAGGUAUACCCAAUAGUUUCUUUAGGGUAUCCUAUGAAGGUGCAUUUUUCCGACUUGGGUUCGAGCUUUUCAGGUUGAAGUUUCUUGACAUAAGCAUCGCAUCCCCAAACUUUUAGAAACGACAGCUUAGGUUUCUUCCCAAACCAUAAUUCAUACGGUGUCGUCUCAACGGAUUUUGACGGAGCCCUAUUUAAAGUGAAUGCGGCAGUCUCUAAAGCAUAGCCCCAAAAAGAUAGCGGUAAAUCGAUAAGAGACAUCAUAGAUCGCACCAUAUCUAAUAGAGUGCGAUUACGACGUUCAGACACACCAUUACGCUGAGGUGUUCCAGGCGGCGUGAGUUGUGAAACUAUUCCACAUUUUCUUAAGUGUGUGCCAAAUUCGUGACUCAAGUAUUCUCCUCCACGAUCUGAUCAUAGAAACUUGAUUUUUCUGUCACGUUGAUUUUCAACCUCACUCUAAAAUUCCUUGAACUUUUCAAAGGUCUCAGACUUGUGUUUCAUCAAAUAGAUAUACCCAUAUCUACUCAAGUCAUCAGUGAGGGUGAGAACAUAACGAUAGCCAUCGCGAGCCUCAACACUCAUUGGACCGCACACAUCAGUAUGUAUGAUUUCCAAUAAGUUGGUUGCUCGCUCCAUUGUUCCUGAGAACGGAGUCUUGGUCAUUUUACCCAUGAGGCAUGGUUCGCACGUGUCAAAUGAUUCGUAAUCAAGAGACUCUAAAAGUCCAUCUGUAUGGAGCUUCUUCAUGCGUUUGACACAUAUGUGACCAAGGCGGCAGUGCCACAAGUAUGUGGGACUAUCAUUAUCAACCUUACAUCUUUUGGUACUCACACUAUGAAUAUGUGUAGCAAUACGCUCGAGAUUCAUUAAGAAUAAACCAUUCACCAUCGGAGCAUGACCAUAAAACAUAUCUCUCAUAUAAAUAGAACAACCAUUAUUCUCGGAUUUAAAUGAGUAGCCAUCUCGAAUUAAACGAGAUCCCGAUACAAUGUUCAUGCUCAAAGCUGGCACUAAAUAACAAUUAUUGAGGUUUAAAACUAAUCCCGUAGGUAAAUGUAGAGGUAGCGUGCCGACGGCGAUCAUAUCGACCUUGGAACCAUUCCCGACUCGCAUCGUCACCUCGUCCUUCGCCAGUCUCCGCUUAUUCCGAAGCUCCUGCUUUGAGUUACAAAUGUGAGCAACUGCACCGGUAUCAAAUACCCAGGAGCUAUUACGAGUACUGGUAAGGUACACAUCAAUUACAUGUAUAUCACAUAUACCUUUCGUUUUGCCGGCCUUCUUGUCCGCUAAGUAUUUGGGGCAGUUCCGCUUCCAGUGACCACUUUCCUUGCAAUAAAAGCACUCAGUCUCGGGCUUGGGUCCAUUCUUUGGCUUCUUCCCAGCAGCUUGCUUGCCGGGCGCGGAAACUCCCUUGCCGUCCUUCUUGAAGUUCUUUUUACCCUUGCCCUUCUUGAACUUAGUGGUUUUAUUGACCAUCAACACUUGAUGUUCCUUCUUGACUUCUACCUCUGCUGAUUUCAGCAUAGCAAAUACUUCAGGAAUGGUCUUUUCCAUCCCCUGCAUAUUGAAGUUCAUCACAAAGCUCUUGUAGCUCGGUGGAAGCGGCUGAAGGAUGCUGUCAAUGACCGCGUCAUUUGGGAGAUUAACUCCCGGCUGAGUCAAGCGGUUAUGUAACCCAGACAUAGUGAGUAUGUGCUCACUGACAGAACUAUUUUCCUCCAUCUUACAGCUGAAGAAUUUGUCGGAGACUUCAUAUCUCUCGACCCGGGCAUGAGCUUGAAAAACCAUUUUCAGCUCUUCGAACAUCUCAUAUGCUCCAUGUCUCUCAAAACGCUUUUGGAGCCCCGGCUCUAAGCUGUAAAGCAUGCUGCACUGAACGAGGGAGUAGUCAUCGGUACGUGCCUGCCAAGCGUUCAUAACGUCUUGUUCUGCAGGGAGAACAGGUGCGUCACCCAGCGGUGCUUGUAGGACAUAAUCUUUCUUCGCAGCUAUGAGGAUGAUCCUCAGGUUUCGGACCCAGUCCGUAUAGUUGCUACCAUCGUCUUUCAGCUUGGUUUUCUCUAGGAACGCGUUGAAGUUGAGGACUACGUUGGCCAUUUGAUCUACAAGACAUAUUGUAAAUAUUUUAGACUAAGUUCAUGAUAAUUAAGUUCAUCUAAUCAAAUUAUUCAAUGAACUCCCACUUAGAUAGACAUCCCUCCUGUCAUCUAAGUAUAACAUGAUCAGAGUUAACUAGGCCGUGUCCGAUCAUCACGUGAGACGGACUAGUCAACAUCGGUGAACAUCUUCAUGUUGACCGUAUCUUCUAUACGACUCAUGCUCGACCUUUCGGUCUUCUAUGAUCCGAGGCCAUGUCUGUACAUGCUAGGCUCGUCAAGUCAACCUAAGUGUUUGCAUGUGUAAAUCUGUCUUACACCCGUUGUAUGUGAAUGUUAGAAUCUAUCACACCCGAUCAUCACGUGGUGCUUCGAAACAACGAACUGUCGCAACGGUGCACAGUUAGGGGGAACACUUUCUUGAAAUUAUUAUGAGGGAUCAUCUUAUUUACUACCGUCGUUCUAAGUAAACAAGAUGCAAAAACAUGAUAAACAUCACAUGCAAUCAAAUAAUAAAAGUGACAUGAUAUGGCCAAUAUCACAUAGCUCCUUUGAUCUCCAUCUUGGGGCUCCAUGAUCAUCUUGUCACCGGCAUGACACCAUGAUCUCCAUCAUCAUGAUCUCCAUCAUCGUGUCUCCAUGAAGUUGCUUGCCAACUAUUACUUCUACUACUACGGCUAACGCGUUUAGCAAUAAAGUAAAGUAAUUUACAUGGCGUUUCUCAAUGACACGCAGGUCAUACAAAAAAUAAAGACAACUCCUAUGGCUCCUGCCGGUUGUCAUACUCAUUGACAUGCAAGUCGUGAUUCCUAUUACAAUAGCAUGAACAUCUCAUACAUCACAUAUAUAUCAUUCAUCAUUCAUCACAACUUUGGCCAUAUCAUAUCACAAAGCACUUGCUGCAAAAACAAGUUAGACGUUCUCUAAUUGUUGUUGCAAGUUUUACGUGGCUGCAAUAGGGUUCUAGAAAGAACGUUUUCUUACCUACGUGAAAGCCACAACGUGAUUUGUCAACUUCUAUUUACCCUUCAUAAGGACCCUGUUCAUCGAAUCCGCUCCAACUAAAGUAGGAGAGACAGACACCCGCCAGCCACCUUAUGCAACUAGUACAUGUUAGUCGGUGGAACCGGUCUCACGUAAGAUAAGACUAGUAGCGGCAAGAAAGUUGACAACAUCUACGCCCACAACAAAUUGUGUUCUACUUGCGCAAGAAGAACUACGCAUAGACCUAGCUCAUGAUGCCACUGUUGGGGAACGUUGCAGAAAACAAAAUUUUCCUACGGUUUCACCAAGAUCCAUCUAUGAGUUCAUCUAGCAACGAGUGAUUGGAUUGCAUCUACAUACCUUUGUAGAUCACGCGUGGAAGCGUUCAAAGAACGGGGAUGAGGAAGUCGUACUCGACGUGAUCCAAAUCACCGGAGAUCCUAGCGCCGAAUAGACGGCACCUCCGCGUUCAACACACGUACGGUCAGCGUAACGUCUCCUCCUUCUUGAUCCAGCAAGGGGGAAGGAGAGGUUGAUGAAGAUCCAGCAGCACGAUGGCGUGGUGCUGGAUGCAGGGCGUCACAGUAGCAGGGCUUCGCCGUAUACUACAAGAGAGAGGUGUAGCAGGGGAGAGGGAGGCGCCAAGACUCAAGGUUAGGCUGCCCCCCUCCCUCCCCCCCUUUAUAUAUAGGCUCCCCUAGGGGGGCACCGGCCCUAGGAGAUGAGAUCUCCUAGGGGGGGGCGGCGGCCAGGGCUGGAGUAGCCCCCAAGGCAAGGUGGGGCGCCCCCCCACCCCUAGGGUUCCAACCCUAGGCGCAUGGGGUGGGCCUAGGGGGUGCACCAGCCCACUAUGGGCUGGUUCCCCUCCCCACUUUGGCCCAUGGGGCCCUCCGGGAUGGGUGGCCCCACCCGGUGGACCCCCGGGACCCUUCCGGUGGUCCCGGUACAAUACCGGUGAUCCCGAAACUUGUCCCGAUGGCCGAAACAGCACUUCCUAUAUAUAAUUCUUUACCUCCGGACCAUUCCGAAACUCCUCGUGACGUCCGGGAUCUCAUCCGGGACUCCGAACAACAUUUGGGUUACUGCAUAUACAUAUCUUUACAACCCUAGCGUCACCGAACCUUAAGUGUGUAGACCCUACGGGUUCGGGAGACAUGUAGACAUGACCGAGAUGACUCUCCGGUCAAUAACCAACAGCGGGAUCUGGAUACCCAUGUUGGCUCCCACAUGCUCCUCGAUGAUCUCAUCGGAUGAACCACAAUGUCGAGGAUUCAAGCAACCCCGUAUUCAAUUCCCUUUGUCAAUCGGUAUGUUACUUGCCCGAGAUUCGAUCGUCGGUAUCCCAAUACCUUGUUCAAUCUCGUUACCGGCAAGUCACUUUACUCGUACCGUAAUGCAUGAUCCCGUGACCAGACACUUGGUCAUUUUGAGCUCAUAAUGAUGAUGCAUUACCGAGUGGGCCCAGUGAUACCUCUCCAUCAUACGGAGCGACAAAUCCUAGUCUUGAUCCGUGUCAACCCAACAGACACUUUCGGAGAUACCCGUAGUAUACCUUUAUUGUCACCCAGUUACGUUGUGACGUUUGGUACAGCCAAAGCACUCCUACGGUAUCCGGGAGUUACACGAUCUCAUGGUGUAAGGAAAGGAUACUUGACAUUGGAAAAACUCUAGCAAACGAACUAUACGAUCUUGUGCUAUGUUUAGGAUUGGGUCUUAUCCAUCACAUCAUUCUCCUAAUGAUGUGAUCUCGUUAUCAAUGACAUCCAAUGUCCAUAGUUAGGAAUCCAUGACUAUCUGUUAAUCAACGAGCUAGUCAACUAGAGGCUUACUAGGGACAUGUUGGUGUCUAUUAUUCACACAUGUAUUACGAUUUCCGGAUAACACAAUUAUAGCAUGAAUAAAGACGAUUAUCAUGAACAAGGAAAUAUAAUAAUAAUGCUUUUAUUAUUGCCUCUAGGGCAUAUUUCCAACAGAUAUAACUAACAUCAUCAUGCCAAGGUAGAGCAAACACCUUGGGGGGUAAAUAGGAGUGGUCAGCGGCGUCCGAAUCCGCCUCAGAACAGAUAUCUUCCUCUGGAUUACAAUCUGGAGAGGGGUGGGGAGGGUUUGCCAUUGAACCCACCAUGGAGCGAUGUCUGCAUGACAUUGUAUUGCCGCGCAAAACUCUUCUCUUUUUCUCUACAUGUUCAGCAUGACUAUGUACAAUAUCUGACAUGCAUACAAAAAAAUAUGGUGAGAUUAUGUAAGGAGAGCAUGCAGAAAUUUAGAGUGAUGGUAACAACCAGUGGAUCGAUGUUUUUCCGUUGAACCAAAAUAGCCCUAAUGGAUCGACAUGAAUGUAUAGUAAUAAGUGAUGCAACAAAUGUACAACCUCUUUGCCGUAGCCGUGUCGACCUCAGCAUCAUUGGGUUGGUCGCUGAAGCAGUUGAGGCAGAGGUGGCUGUCAGAGGUGUGGAGGAAGAUCUGAGGAAUCUGUUGACGGCGUCCAGGGCACUGCUCUGUUGUGAUGUUUUGUUCUGUCGUUGGAGCAGCUCCGGUGAGCCGUAAGACGUCAAGGCUGAAGCAGCACAAGACAGACAUCGUCAAUCUCAAGUGGGAAUAGCAUCUCCAAUAGAUGAUGUAAAAUGGAUGUAAAAUAAACAUCACCAAAAACCACCUGACUACAACAAAUGAGGUAAAAACUGUUGACUCUGAACUUAACUGUCAAAACUGAAAUUUACUGUGGAAUCUGAAUGCUACUGUCGAAACUGAACGCAAUGGUAGCAGAGAGGCACUUGACAUGUAGUUUAGGGAGGGCCUGUAGUUCAUCUUCAACCUGCACCCCCCUGAGCCGCCAGCCACCACCGGCCGAACCGCCGGCCCCAGCGCCGCCUCGGCGCCCCGAAACAACUCGCCACCGCCGCCCCGGCCAGCCCUCUAGGCCCCCCGCCCCCCACCCGGAACCCUAAGAUAGAUAGUGGGGUACCUCUCCGGCGAGCCCCCAUCCCCACUGUGGGUGGUUCUUCCUUAACUCCAGCGAGCCCCCCAACCCCUGAAAAUCGACUGACCCAAAAGUCAAUUCAGUCGACUGAAGUGUGGCUUAAUCGGAGCAGAGCAACAACACGAGCGAGGGGGAGAGCAGCAAAACCAGCUGGGCGAGCGAGCGAUCGAGCGAGAGCCGGAGCAGCAGCAGUAGAUCCGGCUGGUAUGGACGCUGCUGCCAAAGGGGCCUCGCACUGGGGGAGAGCCGCCGUGGAGAUGUCGCCCGCAGCGCUAGCUUCAAGGUAGCCGCUCCAUGAGGGUGCGGGAUGGAGCACCGUUGGCGCCGGGAGGUCGAGUUAAGGAGAAGGUGCGAUGCGAUGAGUGUACAACCUCUUUGGUGGCGCCGAGUAGGCCUCGGCUUCAUCCGAGGAGUCGGUGAGGAUGCUACGGUUUCGGUGGAGCAGGUUAAGGCGGCGCUGUGGGGAUGGAGCAACCACGAUAGACGAGACGAUCGUCGGAGCAGCUCCUUGGAGGUGGAGGACGGGGCAGCUGAACCGGCGGGACGGCGAGAUGGACGACGGAUCCUCAUCCGGGGAGGUGGAAGAGGGACGUCGAGCUGUUGCGGUGGACGACAUCGUCGGGGAAGAGGCUCCGGUUGGGUAGCGGUGACGUGGCGGACGAAGGAGGGUGGGGUUUCGUGGCUGGAGCGGAGAGUCUAUGGCGGCCUGGGAUUUCGCAUGGCGAAAAGGGGGCGAUGGGAGGGGGUGAAGCAUGACUUAGGAACGCGCUUGUCCAAAAUGUAGGGUGUGUUACAAAAGUACCCCCCCCCACCGAUUUGAACUAGCGGCCCUUUCGGCGCAGGGUCAGAAGGGGGAUUUCGCGUGUCGGGAUUUGGCAGCUGGAGGGAGUUUUCGCGCGCGUUGUAAUUUCGGGAUAGCAAGGCGCGGGUUGUGAAGGCGCCAGUUUUGGGAGCAUGAUAUCUGAAUUUUCGGGAUAUAACAAGACGCGGGUUGAAUUUUAGGGACAAGCCUAACGUGUAGUAAUAUUGUACUUGUACAUACCAAAUCAAUUCACACUUCCCUCAACCAAAAAGAAAACGAAAAAAAUAAAACUAUUCACACCACACAAAGAGAGAGUCUUGCCCCGUUUUACUAUACAAAUGCUAUUCAAAGCUACUCCCUCCUUCCAUCUAUAUAGGGCCUAAUGCGUUUUUCGAUGCUAACUUUGACCAAAUAUUAGAGCAAUGAUAUAUGACAUGCAACUUACACAAAGCACACCGUUAAAUUCGUCUGUGAAAGGUUUUUCAAUGAUAUAAUUUUCACAUUGUGCAUGUCAUGUACUAUUAAUCUUGUUAAUAGUCAAAGGCGGUCUUAAAAAUCUCAUUACGCCCUAUAUAGAUGGAAGGAGGGACUAUGAAUCCAUGUUAUGUCUGAUUAAAUUUUUUCGCUUGCUGUAUAAUGCAUGUAACCUACUCAUCCAACAUGUUAGUGCAUUCCAAAUGUCUAUACGACCGCUGCAAUUCGAACUAAAUUUGAAUUCGUUUCUCUAUUUCAAUAAGAAUCUACAAUCAUGAUUGUUGCAAACUUCAACCAUCAUAGUUUCCUUGCUAUCCGCCAGAUAUAAAUCAGACGGCCUAUAAUGCAGGAUGGCAGGCACACCAUCAUCAACAACUCUGUUUUUUUAUAAGAGUAGAGAUAAAAUAUAUUAAAUGUAGUAUACCAUGUUCAUAACCACACCAUGUGUAUCACCGUUAUAUAUAUUCACACAUCCGUCGGUUUGAAACACUAUGAUAAAUUCUUCAAAUAUCCGAAUUCGCUUUUUAUAAUGAAGUAUAUAUGAUCUCUAUUCGGCUUUUACACCCACACAACCCACUUAUCUUUGUAGCUAGCGCUAACUUUCUCUUGUGCAUGCACACGCCCGCAUCCCUCUCACCGUCCCUCAGCAUUCUCUAGCUCCAUCGUUAAAAUUCGUCUUUUCACUUUAGGUCGUUCACCCACGGUGUGUGUAGGCCCCCCAGCUCCUUCUUUACGGCACACAUCGAUCGAUAUGCCUCUCUAGCCCGGUGUGCCUAGCACAAACACAAGCUUCCCCUCUUCUCUUUUCACCGUCCAUGCCUCACUCCCACCACUCUUUUCAUCGUUCUCGUACUCACACACUCCUCCCCCUCGAUAUAGUAUGCCUCUCGUACCACCUCCUACAUGCAUCCCUCCCUCUCUCUAUCCUUCUCCUCGUGCCUCAUUUGCUUCUAACACACAGAUGCAUGUAUACUGAUCGAUCUCCCACCAUAUACCUAGAUCGACUUUAACUACCCCCCAUCGAUCGACGUACCUCAAAAGUUAUGUCUCUCCUUUCUCUUACAAAGGGCGAUUGAUCUUCCUAUGUAGUUACAUCUGCUUACCACAGCCACAUCGCCCCCUCAUCAUUCGUGCAUGCCUCCUGACCCGUCUCUCACUCGCACGUGCACAGACAACAAGCAGCCAUCUCCUCUCUUAUUGAUAUUGCAGGCGUGCCCUCCGUUUGUCUAGCAAGCCUAUCCCACCAUUUGUUAGAAGCAACUCCACUACCACCCCCUCCAACACUCUAGCUCUGUCUCUCUCCCAACCUUAUUCAUCUCCUGCACAUAUGCAUGGAUGCCGAUCGAUCUCCCUUAAUACAUGAGGCAGAUCGAUCUCCUUAAUACAGGAGGUAGGCCUCUCUCCUCCUCCACACAUAUACCAACCAUUGUACCUCUAUAGUUAAUUGGGCCUCCCUCUUCCCCCACCACACACCGAUAGUCGAGCGCUGCAGGUAGGUAUCCAUGCCACAGAGACAAACUGCACAUGUCCCAUCUCACGUUCCAAUAGGCCAGCCACUCUAUAUCUUUGACGUGGGCACACACAAAUUCGAUGGCACUCUUUAUCGAUCGCGCGCGCACACACACACACACAUCAUCCCUCUCUUCGAUUCUAUGGACACCUCAAGCCGAUGAUACCUCCACUCUCUUCUCGUGGAUCGCCCCCUCUAUAUAUAUGUUAUAUCCAGGACUCUAUUUCACACACAUUGCAUAUGUUACAUUUUUUNNNNNNNNNNNNNNNNNNNNNNNNNNNNNNNNNNNNNNNNNNNNNNNNNNNUCUCUCUAGGUUUGUAUCUCUCUCACACAACCCCACAUAGGUGGUGUACAUAUACAAGAAGAGAAUAGGUGCACCGUGCACGUACUCACGCUUCGUGCGCAGCCACACCCGCGCGGGUACACGGUGGAGCUCAUUUCUUUACGAAAUGGCAGCCCAUGUGCUAAUUUGAACGCUUGUAGCAGUUGUUUACCUAGGGAGGUCAUGUACCACGCGUGCAUGAAACAAAGUUCGACUUGACGCGUUGCCACAUUAUUUUUAAAUAAAGUUAUAGCGCUCAAUGGCACGUACACAGAAUAUAAAACGAUUUUUAUGGAGGAAAAGGUAGUCCGCUCUUCAGAGUAUCUCACACAAGGCUCCGAUGGGCUCUCUCUCUCUCUCUCACCAUUGGUCACUGAUCCGGCCACAUCCCGUCCGCCGGGGGAAGGGAGUGCGGUGGCCUCUCUCUCUCUCACCGUUGGUCACUGAUCCGGCCGCAUCCCGUCCGCCGAGGGAAAGGGAGUGCGGUGGCCUCUCUCUCUCUCUCUCUCACCGUUGGUCACUGAUCCGGCCGCAUCCCAUCCGCUGGGGGAAAGGAAGGAAGUGCAUCGUUUCUCCGUUCGAUGGCGCCGAGGCAGCACGUCCUGAUCUGCGGUACACGCCGUUCUCUCUGACCAAGCUCCGGUGCGGCAGGGCCUACACCACCUAAUCGCAGAUUCCGCCCGCCGCCGCUCACCUAGUUACAUCCCGAUGACCUCCAGGUAUCCCCUCCGGCCUUGCUCCACUGCCCGUUUUCCCACGUUGCUGCAUGUGGAUCUUCCAUAGUUCUUUGCCCAAAACGUAGCUCGUCCGGCGUACUUUCCAUAUCGCAUUCUUGUCCUGACACCGUUUUAGACAAACACAACCGUGUUGUCAUCUUCCCUUAGGACAAGGAAUAUGCUUCUUUUUUGUCGUCGCAUGUGUCAUCAACUGUUAUUGGCCAGUAAGUGUUUCCUUUCUACCUCUUUUUUGCAAACAGGGCUAUCCAUUUCACGCCAUUGCUAUUGCGACCUUUUGGUGAACUGCACAAAUCACUUUUUUCUUAAGAGUGUUUUGUGCAGUUGUACUAAAAUGUCACACGGGCAACGUCUCUACAUUUCAGUGCGACUGCACAAAGGGAGAUUGGUUUUGCUCUAUCCUCCUCAUCCAACUCUGAGCCUAAUCUUCUCCAACUAGUUAGUCUUAAGAGAGACUGCAAAGGUGACCGGCUUCUAUUUGUGUGUUUAUUGUUUCAUCAGCAGUCCUCUAUUAUCGUAAUCACACUUGAUAUCUUUGGAAUAGGGACGCUCAGCUCUAUUUUAGUGGAACUGCACAAAAUGAUCGGAAUGUUGCAUGCUCCAAACAGCUACUUUUUUCCCAACAUGCCUUGUUGAUUUAGACAGAGCUGGGGGACGUUGCUGCCAAUGAAAGCAUGGAUCAAUUUUAAUUUAACACCUUCUCACAACUUUGUCUUCAGUUGUGAUGUAAUUAUUAGCUCUGAUCUGCUAAUAAUUGACAUGCAUUAGCAAGGAAAAUUAUUGUUUCUGAAAGAGCAUCGAUGGCAAGACACGCGAAACAAAAGCUGAAAGCUCACACCAUUGUACAAUGUCAUGUCGCUGGAAAAUUAUUUGUAUAGUACGUCAAUUAUGUAAACAAAUGAUGGAAGCUUGAUAGCAUUGCCAGAAGCCUCUUCAUCAUCCGGGUCCAUGUGCCAUGCACAAAAUUAUACUCCUUCGUUCCUAAAUAUUUGUCUUUUUACAAAUUUCAAACGGGAAUAUUUUAGAGUGUAGAUUCACUCAUUUUGCUUCAUAUAUGUACUCGCUCCGUUCCUAAAUAUUCUAUUCGUCUUAACAGAGAUUUCAACAAGUGACUACAUACGGAGCAAAAUGAGUGAAUCUGCACUCUAAAAUAUGUCUAUAUACAUCCGUAUGUGCCAGUCCAUUUGAAAUCUCUAAAAAGACAAAUAUUUGAGUAGUCACUCAUUGAAAUCUCUAGAAAGACAAAUACUCCAGAGUAUAUUUAAGAACCCAGGGGGUAGUGCACAACCGCAUGGGAGACUCAGCCCGGUUGUUGCGCCGCAUUAAUAGUGAGUAAUGAGCAGUCAAAUCAUAAGCCCCACCUUUCCCACUGUAAGUUGCUCUGAAGAAGCAACCAUCAAUACUCUCUUCUUUGAAUCCGCUCAUACUACUCCAUCUGUCACUGUUUAUACAGCACGCUUCAGAAAAAAGAAAAAAAAUCUAUGGGACCAAGGAGACUAGCGAUCGGCCUGAAAAAUAGCAUUGGUAGUUAUAGCACGGCGUCUAUUACUAGAGGGAAUAAUGCAUACACACAUGCAUGCAGUGCUUCCACCCCGGGUACACACAUGCAUGCACUCCGUAGUAGUACAGUACAUGGAGAGAAAAUUGUGGACUUGAUUGCGGUUACCACACCCUAAUUAAUUGAGCAUUAAACCAAACGCAUCUAAAGUCUCUGUGGUGGUGGAAAUGCAUUGAGAGAAAUGCAUCAUAAUGAAGCGCGCCCUGUAAACUGUGAUGGAGGGUGGAGUAGUAUGAAGGUGCAAAACCAAGUACGCGUACUACUGCGCUUGGCUCUUCGCCCCUUUGUGAAAUCGAACAAUGAUGGUACUCCGCAUGUUGGGUACUACAGUGUAGGACUUUGCCUCUAACAAUCUGACACCGAAUGGACUGAUGCAUGUCCACCGAGGGUAGGUUGCAUUAGUCAAAAGGCGUAAGCGAGCUUCACCUUGUCCUGCAAGCUUCUCCUCAUUCUGCGAGUUGACGGGACACACCAAAAAGUAGUGCCAGUCCAUACUCCCUCCUUUUCGGUUAAUAUGGCUUAAUCUUUUUGCGGGUAAAUGAGAGAGCUUUAUUCAUAUAUAAGCAUUCUUAGGACGAUCAUCCAAGACACUGGUCACUAGGAAGCGAGGUACCCCGCAAAAAAGGAAGUAGGAAGCGAGGUGUUUCAUCAAGCCAACUCUCGGCCACAUUUAAAGUGCAGCAAGCACGGUUCGCACGAAGAUGCGCCGCAAGGUUUGCUGACCUACUUAAAUGCUGAAUAACAAAAAAAGAGGAAAUAUUACCGAGCACUACUAUUUGUAACAGGAUAUGAGCCUGAAUUAAGCGAGAAUUGUGGCGAGUGUUGCAUGCAAUCAACUUCCAUUAUCACAUGCGAGAACCCUAGAAGAUAACCAAAUGUGUUGAAGAUUGCUUUAUCACAUUUUAAAAUUAUAAUAAGAGUGAAGACGCUCCUCCAUCCGGUUCCUAGUACUAGUAUAGUACAUACCUUUAUGGACUAUAGUAGUAGUACUAGUAAACUUUGCGCUUGGCUGUUCGGGAAGUCGAACAAUAAUAGCACUAGUAGUAUAGUGUAUGCUUCUGGCAAUCUGACACCGAAUUAACUAUUGCACGUCCACCACCUGAGCGAGGGAGAGCUUGC